Molecule: long non-coding RNA, 60882 nt
Filed under: Setaria viridis
Lineage: Eukaryota; Viridiplantae; Streptophyta; Magnoliopsida; Poales; Poaceae
Description: long non-coding RNA (SVIR_LNC001728)
Source: RNAcentral
AUUAGGUACCUUCUAGAUUGACUCUAGUGCAAGUGGGAGACUGUUGGAGGUAUGCCCUAGAGGCAAUCAUAGAGAUGAUGAUAUUCCAUUUGUAUCCAUGAUUUGUAUGUUGUGUUCAUUGAAUAUCCAUUGAAGGCUACUAGAAUUGAUUUGCAAUUAUGUGAAUUGUAUGUGAAACUCUUUACUUGUAUGGUUAUUCUAAAGUUGUCCCUAGUCGGAGUUCAUGUGAGAACACACAUGAAUAUUAGACUAGCACAUGUAUUAGUUGAUGACUAUGUUUCACAAGUCAUGGACAUGGAGAUGUUGAACUAAUAAUGUGGACACAUGUGGAGACAUGUGCUAGGACUGACCCAACACGAGAAGUAGUUCUCUCUUUGAACAACAUAUACGCUUUGUCCUUAGACCUGAGAUUGUCGCAUGUAUUCUAAAUGUGGAUCGACCUACUUAGGGGCUAUCAAACGCUACGCCGUAACAGGGUAGUUAUAAAGGUAGCUUUCGGGUUUGUCAAGAAGCAUGCUAUGAGACAUGGUCAAUCAAGAUGGGAUUUGCCCCUCUCUGAUUGAGAGUGAUAUCUCUGGGCCCUCGAGUGAUCGGAUCCGAAAAUGCAUGGCCAUGCUACGUACGGUUAAGAGUUAACCUACAAAGGGAUUCCGAAUCACAGGAUCAAGAAAGAGCGGUCGGCUUGAAGCUAGACCAAAUAUCGUGAGGCAAAGGGAAUAGCAUGUAUAUUAUGUUGUGAUGGUUCGUCUGAUAUGAUCUUCGUGUGCGUAUAGGAGUUGGCACGUCUUGCUAGAGGCCGCUACCGACUAUUGGGCCGAGUAGGAGUACUCAGGCCAUUUCUAUACGUAUCCGAACCCAUAGGGUCACACACUUAAGGGGCUGGAAGCCCAAUUCGGAUCUGAUCCGAGUUGGAUUAGGUUUAGAAGUACUAAUGGGCCUCGGACCCAGAGGUCCGUUAGGAACCUCUAUAAAUAGAGGGGUGGGGGCGCCCUAGGGUUGACACCUUUUUGGCAAAACACACCCGUCGCGCCUCCCACGCCCUCGUCUGUUGCAACUCGCGGAUCUAGCAGUCCGGCUUGCGACGCUUCCUCCCUGCACGUGUGGAUACCUUGGAGGUGUUGCGCCUACAGCACUUGGACGAGCCGCCGACGAGCCAACGACGAGCCGCGGCACCGGGGGGCAAUCUUGCUGCACGUGGAUGAGCUGCUGAGGAGCUGCUGGACGUUGACGUGAUCGACUACGUACGACUACGUUGAUCGACUACGUACGACUACGUGAUCGUCACUGCAUCGACGCAUAUCUACAUCUUCCGCACCAGUAGUGCGUCGAGUGGUAAUCCCGUGAUCCUUAUACGGCAGUUCUUCCUGGUUAUACGCGGUAGAAAUUUUGAUUUGCGCUAGUGUAGCCUACCUUGUAUCCCCACAUAUAAGUGGUGGAGUAGUUCUUCCCACCGGUCGGUUAAGUCUUGUUGAGCUUAGAAGCUCAGCCUUGGUUGUGGCUUCUCUUUUCAGGUGAAGUUGCAACUUCAGAGCUUGCCGCUGGCACUUGGCCGCCCCAGCUCCCUCCGGGUUGGACGGUCGAGUGGGAUCCUUCCUUGGACGGCAGGGAAUGGGAUCACUGAUGUCCUGGCUGACCUCACCAGGGACAUCCGACCCCGACGAUUAUCUUCCGCCGUGCUUUUGCCUUCUGUUGUUUUCUUUCAACGUUUGUAAAACUCUGAUUUUAACUAGUAUGUAAUGAAUUGUUAAACCAAUGGCGGAUCUGCUGUAUUCUCUGGAACCACUGACAUUCGUGUGAGUCAUGUUAACUCGGUCCUGUCAAGUGGUUAAAUCGGAUGAAAUCCGACGGCACAUCGGUGUGAGUCAUGUUAACUCGGUCCUGUCAAGUGGUUAAAUCGGAUGAAAUCCGACGGCACAUCGAGUUAACUCGAUUAAGGCAUGAGGAUCGCGUGUUAAGCGACUUAACCGUGCUUUAGUUGAGUUAAUCUGAGGUGUUCCGCCACACCAAGUUCUUCUGAGAAUAUUCCAGCUUUUUCUGGAAUUUAUUCUUCUUUUCCUUGAGCCUAAUCCAAUUUUUUUGGGAUGGUUCUAAAAUCCUUUUCACGAGCUCCAAAUAUUUUUUUAGAUUCCUUGUGUCCUGAUCUAUGUCUGGGAUUUUUCCUAGAAUUUUUGGGAUUUUUAAAAUAUUUUUCGUGGUUUAAAGUAUUUAUCUAGAAUUUUCUGGAUUUAUAUUCCCACAUAAAAUAAUUUCUGAAAAAUGAUCUAAUCUUUCUUCUCUAAACGGGCUGAACUCCUGAGCCCGGCCCGCUUCACACCAGCCCAGCAGGCCGCCAACCUUUUUCUUCUGCUGACCCGGCCCAGCUCCUCCUCUCUCAAGCCGGCCUCGCCUUCCUCUUCCACCAGCCCGACCCACCACCUGUCCCUCUCUCCCCCUCACCGCCAGGAGGGCCCCACCUGUCAGAUCCACCUUCCUCCUCUGGCCGCGCCGCCAGGCCAAGCUGCGCCACCAUGCCGGUGUCCCUUCGCCUCUCGGUGUUGCUCCGGCUCCCCACACCCCCUCGGCUUCCCGUGCCCGCUCGCCUCCCGCACGAGCGCCGCUUGCCCCUCCAUUUCCUCUCCCCCACCAGAAACCAUCGCCCCCACCGCUGGUUGCCAUUAAUGGUCGCUGCUGCCCUUUCUUGUCCACCAGCGCCCCUUCCGCUCCCCUUGCCCCUUCGCCCUAUAAAACGAGCACCUGAGCCCCGGGAGUCCCUACUGCUUCUCGCCCGCCGCCGCGCUGCUUCGCCAAGCGCCGCCGCACAAAGCCUCUGAGCUGCCACUGCUUACCCGCGCCCGCCGCCGCCUGUGUUGCUCCUGCGCCGAGUCGCCGGGCUGCCAGCGUUUCUGUCGUGGCGCCCACUGCACCGGUGCGCCACCAUCGCCGCAACCGCGCGCGCCCUGCCCCUUUGGCCCGACUAGCAGCCGCCGCUGGUAAUCUGACCGGACACACGAGCGGAGCAAGCAGGAACUGGAGGUAGAAGAUAAGGCACUGUUUUGCAAUGAAGUCCCUGAAAAACUUGUAAAUCGUUAUCUCUUUUCUUAUGUCUUGUACCUUUCACAUAAAUCCCCCUAGAUCUUUCAGUAUCUCUCAAUCUUAUCCUUGUCAUGUCUUUUUGCAGAUCUAACCUCGAUCUUUCAGCUUUUCAAGUGUCCUGUUCUCUGAGUCUAGGUAAACUUCUCUACUAACCCUUGUAUUUUGUGGUUAAUCGUGUUUAGGUCCCUAGAUCUUGUUUAGCUCGUAGAUUUCGCGUUUUAGCUCCGUUUUAAUGCGUUCAAGUUGCGUUAGGUUCAUCAAAGCAUAAAGUACAUGUUAGUGUUGUUGUCAUCCUAUAUUUCAUGUCUUUAAAGAAUAAAUUUAAUAUCAAUUUGAAUAAUGCCUAAUGAACAUGUGUCUUUCUAGAUAAAAGUUACCAAGAGUUAUCCAUAACUUUUCAUAAUAAAUAUCAAUAUGAUUAAUGACUACUUCAUAAUCUUUCUAAAUAAAAGCCAAUUAGGAUAUACACCAGUUUUUCAUAAACAAAAGAUAAUUUGAUUAACACUUAUUUGAAUAAUUCUUAAAUUAAAUUUAAUUUGACUAACAUGUAUUCAAUUUGUCUUAUAAAUAAAAGCUACAUAGGUUAUAACUCGAAUUUUUAUACUUAAAUAUUAAUUUGGCUAAUAUAAAUAUAAACAUGUUUUUAAUGUAAUAUGCUUAGUUGAACUCGAAAUAUAAAGUUAUGUGCUUAGAUGUUCAUCUAUGCUUUAUUUCCAAAUUAAAUGUUUAAUUUGCAUAAAUUCUACUUAAAUAUUUAUAAAUAAAACUUGAGUAGGUUUCUACCUCGGUCUUUGCAAAUAAAGUAUAAUCUAUCUUAAUUCUAACUUAGGGUAUUUUCUUUUUGAAAUAUCCUUUACAUAUGUUUUGCUAAAUAAAAUAAACCUAGCUUAUAGUUGUUUUAUUUCUUUCAUGAAUCAAAUCUCUCGAUAGUUCCAUUCUCAACGUUUCCCUAGAUUGAACCCUCAUCCUUUAGUACGCUCUUUUAAGCCUUUCUUUUGUUUUGGUGUAUUGUUCUUAGUUGCUCCAGUUGUUUGUUUGUUGCCGAUGUUUCCUUCGAUUAGAAGGAUCGCCGUCUGAAGCUUUGAAGGUUAAGAGUUUCAAGAAAGCAAGGACCGAAGAGCAAUAAGAGUAACUUGUCGUUGGAGAAAGGCAAGUGUCCCUAACCAUCCUUCUACCUAUGCUUUAUUCACAAUACCAUGAGAAUGUUAAUUGGAACAUGGAGAACCGCCCAAGAAAACAGUACAACCACAACAUCACAUGGCUCUGAUCUUAGCCGACUAAUUAGGCAUGUGGUUGACUAGUGGCCUUACCGAAAGGGCAAGGAGGGGGAAGGUGUCGGGGGUAUGACCCGGAGCGGUAGCCUUCUAAGGUGCUGAGUCAUUGCAACGGGUUGUGACCCACACCGCUAUUGAAACUCUAGCGAGCCACUAGUUGUCUAUAUGUCUUUGUAAAGGCUUCGUAGUGGACCCCUAGCCACUCACCAAAGGAAGUGUUUAAGGGCUUUGCAAACCCAAGCGACACGGGGAACCACGAGUUGUGGGUAAAGUGUACAACCUCUGUAGAGUGUAAACUGAUAUAUCAGCCAUGCUCACGGUUAUGAGCGGCUUGGACCCUCAAAUAAUUAAUUAAACUUGAAGUUGGACUUAAAUCGUUAAUUCUGGUUAGCUCCUGUGGCCUUGCUAAGUACCAACCAUAAGUGUACUCACCCUUGCUUACCGCUGUUCAGAAGAAGCUGCUAUGAAGAUGUUGUGAAGAUGAUGCUGAGUUCUAGGUGUACGCAACCCCCAGUCGAGUGCCUGUGAAGUUUGGAGCCUUCGUUUCCAGAGUUUAAGCUGUGUUUCUCAGAUAGUCUUUUAAGUCUUUUUUGUAUCUUUUCGCGUGAUACUAUUGCUUUUAUUCACUAAUGAUGUCACUAUAUGUAUGGAACUACAUCCUAGCAUACAUAUAGAUAGUACUUGGUUUUGUUUUAAAAACCGGGUGUGACAGAAGUGGUAUCAGAGCUGUAUUGACUGUAGGAUGUUGUUGACGCCAGAUUUUAACACGUAUGGGAUCGGUGUCAAGAGAAGAAAGGAUUGGCUGAUGUAAUGGAUUAAAAGGUCACGAUUGGGAAUCGGCCGAUUGGUGCUAUAGCUGAAUCGGCCGAUUGGCGCUAUAGUGUUUUGGCGGAUGGAGAUCGGCCAAUUGGAGGGCAGGAGCGAUUGAGCCAAUGUGGGCUUAAAGUGGGUUCCAGAAAGGAAAGAGAGAAAGAUUGGCCCGUGGGAGUACAAUAACCAACUCCGAUACGAGUUGCGUUUGUAAAUAUUCGUUUUCGUUUAAAAUUAGAGAUAGAUCCUAGUUGGUUAGGAAAUUGGUUGUAACAGGCUAUAAAUAGCCAUCUUUAAAGAUUUGUAAACAUAUAUCAAUCAAUACAACAAUCUACUUUUUCAUCGUACUUUACUUUUAAGUCGGCGACUUCGCUAAUACAUCUUUUUCUUUCACGAGUUCGUACGGGUUGGUAGGGCUGCAUCGACACGAUCUUCGGCCGAUUCUGUAAGUUCCGUUUAUCGAGUAAUAUCUAAGCUUUAACUUCGGACGCAUCGCUGUCGUUUCAUUUAGAUUUAUUCACCAGUUAUCGAUAUUUACUAGAAUUAUAGGUUUUAUCUACUGUUCUAGUUUUAUCACCAGUUAUCCAGCUUGAGAUUUGAACUAUCGGCUCUAUUGUUGUUAUUUUUCAUUCAUCAUUAUCGCAUAGCCGAUUAGAUCUAUUUUGAGUGUUGCUUUCGUAGCUUUAUCUAGUUUACUCUAGUAGUUUUCUUCGUGAUUGCUACGUGAUUGUCGCUGUAUCAUAGCUGAUUAUCUUUGUAUAGCAAAUCGGCCGAUUCGCUGAUACGCUUUCCAAGAUCAGAAACUUAGCCGAUCGGAGCCCCUGGAAUUUGACACGUUUUCUUCCUUGCAAAUCAAUAGGUCAGAUUGCCUGGCACGCCGCGCGAACCGCACCAGGGCGAUUACCCAAACAGGAGCUAAGCAGAUUCUCCCGGAUCGUGGGUCCGACACUGAAGGUCAAUCGGACGAUUUUUAGCGCCAACACACUUUUGGCACGCCCGGUGGGACACCCUCAACAUCCAACAUAUCAAAGACCGCCGAAGUCUCCGAAGACAAUGCCAUCGAGGUUACGGAGGCAGAUCUCAAGGAUGACCAGAAAGAAGAAUUGACAAAACACCUAGAAGACUACAAGAAGGUAUACCUGCAAUCUUUCAGUCGUACCAGGAGCGGGGAGGCCAUCAAGAAAGCUUCUCUUCCAACUCCCCGCCAGAUCACCAUCGCUGAGGACUCGGGCAAGAUGUCUGAUAUGAUCAAACAGUUUGUCUACCAGGCUUUCAUCGACCAAUCCCCAGUGAUGACCAGCACGGCGUACAACGCCAUCAUCAGCUCCCUGGCCAACAGGGUAUCUCAAGGAUAUCGGGGGCCAGCGUACGCCCCGCCCAUUGUGACCUCAGUCAGGAGUUUACCGGGCACAUCUCACUCGGCUCCUCAGUCGGUGCUGACACAACAUGGAGGACACAACACUUCAUUGCCUUCAAUGCAUCCAGGAUAUGACGGUGUGCCAUGCUUUCAAUCACAAGCGCCGCCUCAGCUUGCUCAAAUUCCCUCCGUGCAAUCAUUGCCCUCAAAUUCAGUGCCUUGGAGGGCACCGGCAACGGAGGUUGUUCUAGAUCAAUUGGCUGGUUAUGGACGCUCUCCAAUCUAGACACCUUUCCAAUCGGCCAUCCGGCCGACGGCCCUAUAGUAUCAACCGGCCGCAUCAGAGAUCAGCAGGGGGGUAGAUGCUGCUGAGAUACUCCGAAGUGCGGCGCCGAUGAUGCUGUACGAUGGGGCGGCUGAUUCGCUACGCCACCAACUGUCAACCACUCAGCCGGCCACGUUACCACAGAAUCCGCCGCACGCUUUGAUUCAUCACUCGGUCGUCCCGCCGCCGAUCCACCAACAUGUGCCGAUUCCCCAACCAGUUGUUCAUCAAAAGCAAGUGGAUUGGAUAGCAAGGAUAGCGGAGGUGAUUCAAGACCAAUUCGGGUUGAAGCCGAAAGUACAAACCUAGACGUACAAAACGCCAUACCCACCCGCCUACGAUCUACUACCGUUUCCCCAUCGGUACAAAGUCCCCGACUUCACCAAGUUUUCGGGGCUGGAUGACACCUCAACUAUGGAGCACAUAAACAGAUUCAUCAUCCAAUGCGGGGAGGUUGCUACACAGGAUGCUUAGCGGGUACGUCUGUUCUCAUUGUCCUAGCAGAAUGCAUUAAGGGUAAGAAGCCGAUAUUGUGUCCUUUCGGGAAAAAGGAACUGGAGGCAUUCGGUUUUGACAUGUCAAAGGCCGACAAAAUCUUCGACCUACUUCUCCAAGAGGGGUAGAUCAAACUCUCGCCUUAUCAUACAAUCCCAUCAGCCGAGCAGCUAAAAAAGAUGAAGUAUUGCAAAUGGCACAAUGCCACGUCCCACGACACAAAUGAAUGCAAGAUCUUCCGUCAGCAGAUACAAUCGGCCAUCGAGCAAGGCAGGCUCAAGUUCGAGGUCCCGAUGAAGCCAGCAAAGUUAAUGAAGAUUGAUCAACACCCUUUCCCCACUAACAUGGUUGAUACGGGGAGAAACGCGCUUCAAACCAAGGUGCUGACGUCAAAGUCGACUAAAAGGAGCGGCGCUGUGGACCCCAAAAAUCAAACUACGGUCGAAGAUGUCAAGGGGAAGAGACGAGUUGACGAUGAGGGUGAAGGAUCAAGAAAGGCCGCAUAGACCUAUUACCUCCCAAUUCUUGCUCAACAAAUAUCAGCGGCAGCAGGAAAGUUUGAGAUAUCGUGAAGAGGCAAUGCGACAACACGAAGAUCAUUGGCGAUGUGCGUUCUUCAUCCACUGCUGGGAAAAUAACCUCAGAUUGCCCUUGACUGAUAAUUGCCCAGAGUGCAGCGGUCCAUAUCGCGAUAAUCGCCCGUUCAAGAGGUCUCACUCCAGGGACAGAGGAUCAGAGCCAAUCAGUAGAAACUGGUGCGAGCAAGAGGAUCGGCACCUUUCAGUGCGUGAUCAGCUGGGGAGCAGAGUUGACUAGUAUGAUCGGCCAAGGGGCAGACUUGAAUAGUAUGAUCAGCCGGGGGGUGGAUUUGACCAGCACAAGCGACCGGGGGGGCAGAGUCAGCGCACACGAUCGGCUAGAGGAGAUGGCCGACGACAGGGUGUCAGAUGAAAAUCCCCUAGGACGGGAACCGGAAUGGGAGCAUGCCAGACCGCCGGCCAAACCGGUGAACCUCAUAUGGUGCUCUGAUGGAUUGACCAAAUCCCAAAAACGAAGGAUCCAACGUCUGCGCUAAUGGGAACAACAAGAAGAAGAGCACAGACGGAUGGUGGAUAAGAAGGAUGACAGGUCUCGAGUCUGGCGCCCCAAAAGAAACAACAAUGAAGAAGGCGACAAUCAGGAAUCGGUAGCUGAUGUCAGCAUGGUGUUCAUCUUGCCGAUGGAGUUCAUGGCCCCCGCCGAUCGGGACGACACGACAAAAAUGGAGGAACAGAUGGCACAAUUGGCUUUGGAGCCAAUGACAGCCACUUUUGAGAAACCCGAAGAUGAAAAACGGCAGCACCUCAACGCACUGUUCCUCAAAGGACACGUCAACGGUCGACCUUUCACCAGGUUACUAGUAGAUCGAGGCACUGCAGUCAACAUCAUGCCGUAUGCCAUGUUCCGGAAACUGGGCAAAAGCGACGAGGAUUUCGAAGGCAACGUGUCUCCCGUGCGCAGGGCACUCUGCGUCGACCUCACCAUCGGCAGUAAGACCCUUCCUACUACUUUCUUUAUUAUUAAUGGCAAAGGGUCCUACAAUAUGUUGCUCGGUUGCGAUUGGAUACACGCGAAUUGCUGCGUCCCGUCUACAAUGCACCAAUGCCUCGUACAAUGGGUCGGUGACAACAUUGAGGUUGUCACCGCCGAUUCCGCCUAUAGUGUCAAGUGUAUAUCUGGUAGGACUUGGGACACCGAUUUCCUGAGAGUGUCUGAUUUUGGCCUACAGCCGAUCCGAGCAGUCGGCUCUGAAGAUUCAGAUUAAAUGGAUAAGUCCGUCCGGGAAGAUGGGAAGCUGGGGCACAGGUUUAUGUUGGCCGAUUCAUUGGAGAUGGUAGAUUUAGUUGAUGGCACCAAACCAAGGCCGACGUACAUUAGUGCUAACCUAGAUCGUGAGUACAAGUGUAAAUUGACAAGUUUAUUUAAAGAAUUUAAAAAUUGUUUUGCUUGGGAAUACCAUGAGAUGCCUGGCCUAGAAUGGUCCAUUGUUGAACACUGAUUGCCUAUAAAACCAGGAUAUCGACCGUAUCAGCAGCCCGCAUGACAAUGCAAUCCUAAAAUUCUACCUGAUAUAAAGGCCGAGAUUACAAGACUGAUUGAAGCAAAAUUUAUUCGGCAGUGCCGUUAUGCCGAGUGGAUCUCUAAUAUUGUACCCGUAUACAAGAAAAAUGGAAAGCUGCGCGUGUGCAUUGACUUCAGGAACCUUAAUUAGGCUACGCCGAUGGAUGGGUAUCCAAUGCCGACAGCCGAUGUGUUGAUAGAUGCCACCACAGGACAUAAAGUCAUCAGUUUUAUGGACGGUAAUGCUGGGUACAAUCAAAUAUUAAUGGCCAAAGAAGAUAUUUCAAAAACGGCUUCCAGGUGUCCGGGCCAUCUCGGUUUAUUCGAGUGGGUAGUAAUGAUCUUUGGAUUAAAGAACGCCGGCGCUACGUAUCAACGGGCUAUGAAUUACAUCUUCCACAAGCUCAUUGGCAUCCUGGUGGAAAUCUACAUCGAUGACGUCGUAGUCAAAUCAAAAGGGUAUCAAGAGCAUCUAGCCGAUCUGCAAGAAGUGUUGGAGUGCACGAGGAAGCAUGGGUUGAAAAUGGACCCGAACAAGUGUGGCAUCGGCGUAUCGGCCGGGCAAUUCCUGGGAUUCAUGGUUCAUGAACACGGGAUAGAAGUCAACCGAAAAAUCAUAGCGGCCAUCAAUAAAGUCGUGACCCCACAGAACAAAACUGAGUUGCAGUCUCUAAUCGGCAAAGUCAACUUUAUCAGAGGAUUCAUAUCCACCUUGUUCGGGCGUAUUUAAGCCUUCACGCCGUUAUUGAAGCUGAAGCCCGACCAAGAGUUCGUGUGAGGAGAAGAACAACGAAAAGCGCAGGAAGACAUCAAGCAAUAUCUGAUCUUGCCACCUGUAUUAGUCCCACCGCAAGCUGACAAACCGUUCAGACUGUACUCAUCGGUUGAUGAAUGGGCUAUCGGAUCGCCGCUGGUACAGGAGUUCGAAGGGAAGGAACGGGUAAUAUACUAUGUUAGCAGAAGACUUCUGGAUGCCAAAACAAGAUAUUCUCCGGUAGAGCGGCUAUGCCUAUGUCUGUAUUUAUCAUGUACCAAACUCAGGCACUACCUAUUAUCGGCAGAAUGCAUAGUCAUGUGCAAAGAUGACGUAGUGAAAUACAUGCUAUCAUUACCAAUUUUGAAAGGACGGAUUGGGAAGUGGAUCCUAGCUCUGUCAAAGUUUGACCUAAGGUACGAAUCGGCCAAAGCUGGCAAGGGUCAAGUCAUGGCCGAUUUCGUGGCCCAGCACUGCGGACCGAAAAUCGCUGUCAUUGAGCCGGUUCCAUGGACUCUAUACUUUGAUGGUUCGUCAUGUGGGGCCGGAUCAGGAAUCGACAUCGUGCUCAUAUCGCCUUGAGGGGCAGGUUAUGAUUUCUCUCUGCCGAUAGAAGCAUUCGCGACCAAUAAUCAGGCGGAAUACCGAGCCAUCCUAAAACGCAUUCAAUUAUUGAGAGAGAUCAAAGCCGACGCUGUGGAGAUUUUUGGGGAUUCCAUGCUCAUCGUAGACCAAUUGACGGGAAGAUCUGAAUGCAAAGAUGAUGUCUUGAGAAUUUACUACGAGGAUUGCCUCCAACUUUUAAAGGAAUUCAUGUCUGCGGUUAUUGUGCAUAAACUAUAAUGAAGAGGCCAAUAGGCUUGCCCAACACGCGUCCGGGUAUCGGCCGAUUCAAGGCGCCAUGACUCUGGAACUCGCGGCCGACGAUUGGCGAAAGGAGAUCGCCGAUUACUUGAAGGACCCGUCCAAGAAAGUGGAUCGGCGGGUGCGUUUUCAAGCCACAAAGUAUGUACUACUCGAAGAUGAUUUGUUUUACCGAAUGAUCGAUGGAGUUCUGCUCAAAUGCCUGGGGACGGAAGAAGUAAAAAUCCUGAUGGGAGAAAUCCAUGAAGGCGUGUGCGGAGCUCACCAAUCGGCUCAUAAAAUGAAGCGGAUGAUUAGAAAUAACGGGUAUUAUUGGCCGACGAUACUCGAAGACUGCUUUAAAUAUUAUAAAGGGUGUCAGGACUGUCAGAAGUUUGGCAAUGUGCAACGUGCGCCAGCAUCAGCUAUGAAUCCGAUAAUCAAACCAUGGCCAUUUAGAGGUUGGGGAAUAGACCUCAUCGGAAAAAUUUAUCCUCCAUCAAGCAAGGGACACAAGUCUAUAUUAGUAGCCACUGACUACUUUACCAAAUGGGUGGAGGCAAAUCCGUUGAAGGCCAUAACAUCAGCCACCAUGAUCGAUUUCAUAAGAGACCACAUUGUUUAUCGAUUCGGUAUCCCUCAAACCAUCACAACUGAUCAAGGAAUGAUGUUCACUUCGGGAGAGUUCGAGGAGUUCACUACCGAUAUGGGAAUUAAGUUGUUGAAUUCUUCUCCGUAUUACGCUCAAGCUAACUGCUAAGCCGAAUCAUCCAAUAAGGGGAUAAUCAAAUUAAUCAAGAGGAAGAUAGACGAACAACCUAAAAAGUGGCACUUAUGUUUGACCGAGGAUUUAUGGGCUUACAGGAUGGCCUGCCACGGAGCCACUAAAAUAUCUCCUUAUCAAUUGGUAUAUGGUCACGAGGCAGUGUUGCCUUAGGAAUUAAGGACAGGGUCAAGACGCACAUCGCUUCAAGAUUAGUUGACGACCGAUGACUAUUCCCUCCUCAUAAAGGAUAGCUCGACGAUUUGGCAGUUCAACGACUGAGGGCCCUAAUCAGCAUUGAGGAGAACAAAAGAGGGUGGCCAGGUGGUACGAUAAGAAGGUCAAGGUCAAGCAAUUCUCCCAAGGAGAUUUGGUAUGGAAGUUGGUGCUGCCGAUAGGAUCUAAGGAUCCCAAGUUCGGUAAAUGGUCGCCCACUUGGGAAGGGCCGUAUAAAAUCGGCCGAUGCGCUCCGGGAAACGCAUAUAUACUGGAAACGAUCGAAGGAGAGGAGUUCACAAGGACCUUGAACGGAAGAUAUCUGAAGAGGUACUAUCCUAGUAUAUGGCUUGAUGCAUAAAUAAUGAUGAAAUGUAUCAAGAUGGUUAUUCGGAACAUAUGGCUGAUUUAUUAUUCGGAAGAAAUAACAGGGUACACGGCUGACACGGUACAAGUCGCCCUUAGCACAAAAGUACCAAUACACUUAUGGACCACACUUUUUCUUGAUCUCCCUCUCAAUCCGGCCUAAUUCUAUCAAGAGGCGGAUGCUCUUUUCUUCCAGAUCCUUCAAGGUAGCCUCAACCUCGACUUGACGAGGGAGUGGGUGGCUCCUGUCGAGAGGCGGCUGAGACGUUCCCGCCGCAGUGUCUUCAAUGGCGACUGGGCGAAGGAGUGGAUGACUUUGUUCGGUUGGCGGCCGCCUAGAGCAGUUGGCGUUGAUGUGAUCCCAGAUCUUUCGGACUUCAGCAGGAACGUGAUCCCUGAGUUCUUCGCGAUGAGCCCUGAUCAAAUCUUUGUCUGCUUGCGAUAACGGUUCAUCGGAGUGCAUGAUCUCGAUCGCUCGUUCCAGUUCAGGACUAAGGUGUCUCGGCUGAAAAUCAAGAAACAACCGCUCGGCGUCACAUCAAUCGAAAUAUUGAACGGGGAGAUGAGGGAAAUGUCGUACCUGGUUGACGGAGAGUGAGGAGGAGGAAGAAGACAUCUUCGCACCUAGUCUAAAGAUAUGGAGAUUAAACUACCAGAGGAGAAGAGGACGAGCGAUGCGAAUGCCUUUGGAAAUAAUACGGGGCCUCAUACUUAUAGAAGGAAAACGGGUGAGAGUUUGGUAAGACACGUCCCAUCGGAGUAAAAGGGAUAAUAAAUGAAAGGCCGCCACAAAGUACGGGUCAGGAUUGGACCCACACGUCAACGGUCAAAAGAAAUUAGUGUUUUUACAGAGCGGCCAGCACUUUUACAGUUCAUCCAAGGAGGGCAUUAAUAGCCGCAAUCGCUCGCUGCCUAACCUGAUCGGCCGAGUCUAAAGUUCGCUGGUCGUCGUUGGCCGAUCCAGGGACUUCUGGCAUGUGGCGAUGGAGCUUGAUUGCUUCGUGGGCCAGGUUCUGCCUCUCCUGCUUCAGCUCGGCGAUGACAGAUGGGAGGUCUUGAAGUUUCUUCUCUUCGACAGCUAUGGCCUUGGUCACUUGCUCCAUCUCCUUGGCCAGCUCUUCCCUUCGCCAUUUAAGGCGAUCUAUAGCACCAACAAUAUCCGAGCGAGAGCUUUCAAGAAAAUUGAUCCAGUGAUGUACCUCUUGAGCUCGAUGCUUGUAAGAGUCUUCCUCCUCACGGGCCUUUGCUAGUUUGGCGCAAUCAGCCAUGUGGCCCUGAACACUGGAACUUGCAUUGACUCAAUAUAUGCGGUGGGUGCCAGAGCUUCUUUUGCCUCCUCGGGAACUCAGCCUCUAGUAUCUCUAAAGAGCUGCUGAAUCAGCGAGGCGUUGUCCACUAAUCGGCCGAUAUCAUCUUGGAGGAGGGUCCGUAUGCUCUCGAGCUUGGCGCGGACGUCGUCGGGGAUUGAGCUUAGUAUGACUUGACGUGAAGCAACCUCCUCAUCGUCAGAAAGUGCGACCGCGAAGGAGAAAAGACUGUUGUUGGGAGUAUAUUGUUCCUGCAAAAGAGUAAAAAAAAUAAUAAAUACGGAUUAGCUGACGGCAAUGGGAAAUCGGCCGAUUUGGGUGAUAAGUCUCUUACUCUUUGAGGCGGAUUUCUUCUGCUUGCGCCGGUGGGAGUGCUGCCCUUGGUUCGGGAAUUGGUGCAACCGGUUCAUCAGAGGAGGAAGAUUCGACGAUUAUUGGUGCCCUACUUGGACCGGCCUGCUGGAAAGGUACGAGAAGCAAAUUCUUAUGAGUAUAAUGCAGAUGAUUAAGUCUGAUGAUAUGUGAUGGUUGCUAUACCUCCGUGGGUCGCUCGGCUGAUGGCUGUUGGAAAGAAAGAAGGAGUUAAUAUCGACAGAAUUCUUAGAAGGAUGUGAAAUGUGAAGUUACCUAAACAGCUUCUAUUAACAAUGAUGCAGCAGCCGCUCCAGCUUCUGUAGCAGCUUGGGGGUCAACUUCUUCAAUGACUGGAAGAAUCGGCGCAGCCAAAAAUUCAGCCGAUGCUGCCGCCGACUGAUCGGCCGAUUCCGUGCGGGCACGAACUCGGUGGCUCGUCUUCUUUGAAGUCUUCUUCGGCGUCUGUUUCGAUCGACCGGUGGUGAUGUCAUCAAUAGUUGGGGCAUGAUAGCCGAUGAGUGGGAAUACUGUAUAUGGGUAGCGAUUCUCUAUCAGCAUGCCACUCCGACUGCGCGUUGGAGGAAGUCGACUCUCGGACUGCAAAAGAAAAUAAGAGUUAGCGGCAAAACUUGUGAUAUAAAAGAAAAUGAUCGGCUGAGGAAAAAGCAGUACCGCUGCAUUCGGAUCGAUGUUGUCAGGGUCCAGAGUGUUGCAGUAUAUCGCGGGAGAUGCACAAAAGAGAUGUUGUUUCCAUUCUGCCCACCAUAAUUUGAAUUGUUGAAUAGCAAAAGGAGCUACUAUCCAGUUGUUCAAGUCGAUGGUGCUGGAAUCGGGUACUCGGUCGCACAGCCGACUGUAGUCAAAACCCUUGGUGAGCUCAUCCCGGAAUUUCACGCGACCGGCAAAGAAGACUUGAAUCGGCAGCUGACCCAGGCCGAACUGCCAUGCCGCAUCUAAUGGAUUGUAAAACUCAUAAGUGGGGGCAUCCUUCCCGGAGAAGAAGUUCGUUGGUAAAAUCCCUGGCUUGAUCAAGACGUCUGUGAGAUCGUUGUCGAAAGUGAUGGACAUUGAUUCAUAGCAGAACGGAAGCUCAAAAAGUGGUUAUGUUCUCUAAUAUGGGUACCAGCUGGUGGUUUCUUCACUAAAGCCGUUGUAAAAACAUCUGAAGUAUUUGGCUACUAUGGUGGUGGUGAGCGGGCAACCAGGGAAGACUGAUGCUGCUUCGUCGAAGGAGGUGCAUCGGCGCCGUACGGUGGGGUUUUCCUCUGACUCGAUAUUGGGGAAUGUCAUGAUCUCUAUCCGCUGCUGGGAGAUCUUGCUCAUGUACAAAUUGAGCCAGAGGUUGAUGAACCACCAGGGGCCACCUGGGUUUCCAAUCAGCUCUCCCUUUGACAGCUUGACGCCAAUUUGGUGCAUCAUAUGGUAGGCCGAUCCCAAUAAGUGUUUUCCUAAAGGAACACUUGCCCCUCUUGCUAGGGCUUCGGCCAGGGCUUGUGUGUUGGAAGAAGGACCGACUGCCCUACCGGAGAAAAGAUGUUUCUCUAGCCUGUGGCGGAUCCACUUCGGAUUAGCUUGAUUUAGACAGGGUUAAGUCGCCUAACAUGCGACACUCCUGCCUAAGCCGAGUUAACACGAAGUGCCGUCGGAUUUCAUCCGAUUUAACCACUUGAACAGGAUCGAGUUUAGCAACUCACACGAAGGUGAGUGGUUCCAGAGAAUACAACGAGUCCAAAGAGUUAGACCAAAUUACCGAUUUAGUUCGACCAUAAAAUCCAACAUCAGAGUUUUACAAGAUUCCAAGAAACAACAGAGAAAAACACUAGCGGAAGACUUCGUCGGGGUCGGACAUCCCUGGUGAGGCCAACCGCGACAUCACUGGAUCCUCUCCUCGCCGUCCGAGGAAGGAUCCCACUCGACCGUCCAGCCUGGCGGAAGCUGGGGCGGCCAAGCACCAACCAGAGAGGGGUCGGGAGCAGCAACUCCACCUGAAAAACAGGAGCCACAACAAGGAUGAGCUACUAAGCUCAACAAGGCUUAACCGAUAGGAGUAAAACUACUCCUUCUUCUAGACAUGCAGGGCUUUUUGGCUGAGGGGUUUGUUUGCCAAAAGCACUAAGUAACCCUAUUUUCAAGUUUUAGCUCCGGUUCUAGGUUCAUUUACCAGUCUAGGUUAUGCCACCUAUUCUAAGCAUUCAUAGAACCAAACAAGAGGUAUAGAUACAUCAAUAAACAUGUCAUCAUCAGAUUCCUCAUUUACUCAGGGUGACAUAGCGAUCAAGCAAUCUCAAACUGUGAGAGGCAGACGAAUCGAUUCGAGUUCUUUAACCAUGCAUGGUGAACCUAGCCUCACGACAUCCGCGCACCUGGAGGUCGCUUCCUGUGUCGGCCUUCCCCAUCGAUCCCCUAACCCGUGUCGGGCCCAUUUCCUUUGGUGCAAGGUUCCACAGACCCGGCCUCUGCCGUUCUGUGACCACGCUUGCCACCACGUGCGACAACCAGCAGGGGAAACUCCGUUCCAAGAACAAUGGGGCGACCGCUCACGUCUAGGUUCAAUCCGGUACUAGGCUUCCUCAUCCCAUACUAAGUAUGAGGCUAGUACUUUCAAACACUUGAUCACGAACACCACCACUGUCGGGCCUUAGCAAGUUUUCAUAGACAGACGGGGCUAACAUCCGACCACCAAAGAGUUACCAAAACCCUGCCCCGUCCAUCGUCCUUAUAGUUGUAACAGAAAGAUAGACAUCCAACUCCUACAACUCGCGAGUGACAGGAGAUCACUCGACUUUUACCGUCUCCUAGUUAAGCAAGGCGACUACACGAUCCAACAGCUAGUGCUCAGAUCAUGGGGACAACUAAGUCAUGCAUCUAGGGUUUCACACAACUCCUAUACGUAAAUGCACAAGCCUGUUACAGAAGGCAUGCGCAAGUCUGGUAAAACACUCAAGGUUUUCAUGCAACCGGGGCUUGCCUUCAAGCAAGGAGGACGGGAACUGCUCGACUUCGGGGGCGAUUUCGGCUUCAGCGGGCAGGAACUCAGCUACAGCUUCUUCUUCUAGGGCCGGGUGAAGCUCGUAGAAGCCGUCGGCGAGGUGCAGCUCUACACGAAUGCAAUGCAAGGGUUAGCAUAGACAGUUAUUUCAACAGCAACACUGGCUCGCCUGAGCCCAGAAACUUGCGACAAAGAGCAGGAGGGUGGGGAGGUUCAAGAGAGCUGGUGAUGAUCAAGAGGCAAGGGUAAGAAAGGAAACUGAUGAUCUGAUCCUUGAUAUAGAGGAUGUGGUAUUUUAGGAAGCCUCCGACGCAAGCGCUGAAGGGUUCCUAAAUUUACACAUACACCCUCGGGUGGAAGGAAAGAUCACAGCCGAACCCUCGGGCGAGGCUUAUAAGGGUCGGCGGAACAGACAGGGUCGGGCGAGACGGAACCGGGGUCGGGCGGAUAGGAGGGGUCGGGCGAGGCGGACUGGGGUCGGCAACUCACCUUCUUCCUGAAAGGAAAGCUUGGGGUCGGGAAGAAGCAGACUUGGGCGGAGGGACUAAAGCUUCGAACAAGGGCUAAGACUGGGAAUGCUACGGCGGAGGCGGUGCUUCUUGCAGAUCACAAGAGAGCUUUUACGCAGCACGGAGGAGCAAGCUGCGGGGUGACUUGGAGAAAACUGAGAGAGAAUCUGAGAGAAGAACUCCUCAAGAACUUGGUGGGUGGCGCUAGGAGCUUGAGCAGGGAGCGAGAGAAUGGCUAAGGCAACUAUGGCGGAGGGAACUCCGGCGAUGGGAGCAUUCCUUUUAUAGCUGCUGGAACGGAGAAAGGAAGCGGCGCGGGAGAGAGAGAAGGGGAGCGGCGCGAAGGCCGGGGAGAGGCAAUGGAGUGCUCUGCCGCGGCGGCGAUUGAGCAAAGAGGGCGGUGGUGCAGGGCUCCGGGGGUGACACCAGCGAUCAUUGGGUUCUGCCGUCAGGGCGGCGUAGGGGCGGGUAGACCGGUGGUUGAGAUUUGGUGGAAAGCGGGCGUCGCCGUGCGGAAGAUUUGAUAGAAGCGACCGGUUUAACGGCGCUACAAUCAAGGGCGCACAGGUGAGAAGACAGGCAGCUGCGGGCGCGCGGGCGAGCGCGGAGCAACAGAUUGUCGGGCGGCUUUUUACAGGGCGGGGAAAGGAGCUGUCGCGGCCGCGGUCGGGGUUGGCGGUGGAGGAAUUGUCGUGUAGCGGAGACCAGGCGGCGCGACUGUGGCUGAAGGGACGGAAAAGACGGGCGACAUCGGGCUCUGGGGCCGGGAUCUGGCGGCGUGAUGAUGGGCGCGGGAGGCGAGGCUCUGCAGAAAGGGGUGCAGAGGGGCUUCCGCUGCCAUUGGGGAAAAGGGCGCGAGAACCCACUUGGUCGCUUGCCAGAGACAAAACUGAGCGGCAGGCGUCGGAGAAGACGAGCCAUGCGGCAGGGAGACUCUGAAGCGGGCAUGCAACUUGAGUGCGCCUGUCGCGGAGGAUCUGGGGAAAAGAUCUCGCGGGUCCACCGGUGGAUAGAACGGACGUUUGUGGAGGAUUAGAAGGAUCCGACGGUGGGCUGAGCUCGCUGGGGUCGGGAGAAAAGCGAAGCAGGGAGGGGUCGGAUCUCCGGGGUCGGAACCAGGCGGAAGGCCGAGCACUCGGCGCGGUAAAACAAGACAGAUGACUCUGAUCAAGGGCUCUGAUCAAGACUAACUAGGAAGGUUUAGGGGUCGGUCGUUACAGCCUACCCCUCUUAAAAAUAAAUCUCGUCCCGAGAUUCAGACAUCAAAAAGCGAGGUGACGUUUUUACCUCCUUGACGAGAUAGAAAACCUGGGAAGCGCUUGUUCAGAUAUUCGUCCGUUUGCCAUGUUGCUUCAUCUUCGGUGUGGUUUCUCUAGAGGAUCUUGUACAUCUUUACCACUUGGCAUCGGGUGUGCCUUUCCUUCUGGUCAAGAACUCGAUCUGGGUACUCGGCGUAGGUCAGGUCGGGCUCUACUUGAAGCUGUUCUUGCUCUAAGAUCUCUGCUGGAACUCGGACAUAUUUCUUCAGUUGAGAUACAUGGAACACAUCGUGUACGGCCGAUAGCUGUUCUGGGAGUUGGAUCCGGUAAGCAACGGGUCCACAUAUCUCCACAAUCUCAUAAGGGCCAACAUAGCGGGGAGCUAACUUGCCUUUGACUCCAAACCGUUGCACUCCUUUGGUCGGGGAGACUCGAAGGUACACGUGAUCACCAAGGUCGAACUGCAGGGGUCUUCUUUGCCGGUCGGAGUAACUCUUCUGUCGGGAUUGGGCAGCCUUGAGAUUAGCUUGAAUUACCUUUACUUGUUCUUCGGCUUCUGCCACCAAGUCAGGGCCAUAGACCCGUCUUUCUCCUGGUUGGGACCAGUUCAAGGGUGUCCUGCAUCUCCGGCCAUACAGGGCUUCGAACGGUGCCAUCUUCAAACUGGCCUGGUAGCUGUUAUUGUAGGAGAAUUCUGCUAAGGGCAGACACUUGUCCCAAUUCUUGUCAUAGUGGAUAACACAAGCUCUUAACAUGUCUUCGAGGAUCUGGUUGACUCUCUCGGUUUGACCAUCGGUUUGACCAUCGGUUUGAGGAUGAUAGGUUGAGCUUCGGAUGAGAUUGGUGCCCAUGGAUGCUUGUAGUUGCUCCCAAAAGCGUGCCACAAACUGAACUCCUCGAUCAGAGAUGAUGGUCUUGGGCACACCAUGUAGGGAAACUAUGCGGUCGAGGUACAACUCUGCAUACUGCUUGACGGUGUAGGUGGUGCGAACAGGAAGGAAGUGGGCGGUCUUGGUCAGACGGUCCAUUAUAACCCAGAUGGAAUCAUAUCAUUGCGAUGUAAGGGGCAAUCCAACUAUGAAAUCCAUGCUGAUGUCUUCCCAUUUCCAAGAGGGAAUAGGUAGCGGUUGUAGGGUUCCUGCUACCUCCAAAUGACUGGCUUUGACACGUUGGCAGGUGUCACAUUCUGAAACAUACCGGGCAAUUUCCGGCUUCAUUCCACUCCACCAAAAGGUUCGACGGAGAUCAUGGUACAUCUUAUUGCUGCCAGGAUGGAUCGAGAACUUGGAGAGAUGAGCUUCAUCUAGGAUUUGCUUUCUCAGCUCGGGGUCGGCGGGUACAACUAGUCGGGUUCCGUAAUGCACGCCUCCUGUUUCGUCCUGUCGGAAUUGCUUAUAUCCCUCAUCCUUUACUGAGAUCUUACUGAGGAUCCGUUGUAUUUCCUUAUCUCUUACUUGUGCUGACCGGAUUUGGUCUUCCAAAACUGAGUCAAGGAUGAUGUGACCAAGGGUUCCAUGAGGAAUAAGCUCCAGACUGAGGUUUCCCAUCUCGUGACACAGAGUCUUGGUGAAGGCUGUUGACAACAAGCAGCUGCAAUGGUGCUUGCGACUAAGGGCAUCGGCUACCACAUUGGCCUUGCCGGGAUGAUAGUGCACUUCUAAUUCAUAAUCCUUUAUCAACUCCAGCCAUCUUCUCUGGUGCAUGUUGAGGUCGGCUUGAGUGAAGAUGUACUUGAGGCUCUUGUGGUCGGUGUAGAUGUUGCAGUGGGUUCCCAUCAGGUAGUGUCUCCAUAUCUUCAAGGCAUGUACCACUGCUGCUAGCUCCAGGUCAUGGGUUGGGUAGCUUAGCUCAUGAGGUCGUAACGCCCAUGAGGCAUAGGCAAUGACUCGAUUGUCUUGCAUAAGAACACAUCCGAGUCCAGUGCCAGAGGCGUCACAGUAUACGUCAUACGGCCUAGAGGGGUCGGGCUGAGCCAAAAUUGGGGCUGUGGUCAGCAAGUGCUUCAGGGUCUUGAAGGCCUCUUCACACUUGUUGUCCCACACAAAUUUGACCUCUUUCUUCAACAACUCGGUCAUCGGCUUAGCUAUCUUAGAGAAAUCCGGUAUGAAAAGCCGAUAGUAACCAGCCAGUCCAAGAAAACUUCUGAUCUGGUGCACUGAGGCAGGGGGCUUCCAUUCCAUGACUUCCUGCACCUUACUGGGGUCAACGGCGAUACCAUCCUUGGAGAUAGUGUGUCCCAAGAACUUGACACUAUCCAACCAAAACUCACAGUUGGAGAACUUGGCAUAGAGUUGGUGAUCUCUUAGCCGUUGGAGAACUAUAGGAAGAUGGUCGGCAUGCUCUUCUUCGUUCUUCGAGUACACUAGAAUAUCAUCAAUGAACACCACUACAAACUUGUCCAGCUCGGGCAUGAAUACCGAGUUCAUGAGGUACAUGAAAUAGGCGGGUGCAUUGGUGAGUCCAAAGGACAUGACUAGGUACUCGUAUAGUCCAUAUCUGGUAGAGAAAGCUGUCUUGGGUAUGUCGCAGGGUCGAAUCUUGAUUUGGUGAUAACCAGAACGAAGAUCGAUCUUGGAGAACACCUUUGCUCCGGCUAACUGAUCAAACAAGACAUCAAUGCGGGGUAGUGGGUACUUGUUCUUGACCGUCACAGCAUUGAGGGGUCGGUAAUCCACACACAUACGUAGACUGCCAUCCUUCUUUUUCACAAACAGGGCAGGGCAACCCCAAGAUGAUGUACUGGGUCGGAUGAAGCCUUUUUCCAACAGAUCAUGCAACUGGGUCUUCAACUCGGCUAACUCAGCGGGUGGCAUCCGAUAGGGUCUCUUAGAUAUAGGGGCUGUGCCAGGGAUCAACUCUAUGGAAAACUCCACUUCUCUAUCAGGUGGCAUACCUGGCAAGUCUUCUGGAAACACGUCAGGGUACUCACAGAUAACAGGGAGGUCUUCUAGACGGGCUCCCGAUAGAGGGUAGGCACAAGGAAGCGAAGACUCAGGAUGGGUCAAGGAUAGGGUAGAACUGCCAUGGGAGGGUGAGCUGAUGCAGAGAGAUCGGGCUACUGCAUCUAGAACCACAUGAUGUCGGGCCAUCCAAUCCAUACCAAGGAUGACAUCUAUACCUUCUAGGUCAAGGAUGAUAAGGUUUUCCUUGAAGAGGGUGGGGCCUAGCUGGAGAGGUACAAGAAUAACAAUCUGAUCCGAUGUUAUCCUUCCUCCAGGAGUGGCGAUCACAUAAGGUUCCUUAGUGUGACCGACACUUAGCCCACAUCUUUCCCUAGCCUUACUCCCGAUAAAGCUAUGAGAGGCUCCCGAAUCAAACAACACAACAACAGCUUGAUUUAAAACAAGGAAAGUACCCGUCAUUACUGGCGCACCUUCGGGAAGCUCGGUCAAGCUGGUGUAGUUGAGUCGGCCUUGUCGGACUUGUACCUUGGGCCUUCUUCCUCUGGCUGCCAUGGGGUUCUGACCUUGCGGUUGAUUCUUGUUCCUGGGGCAGUCCUUUGCAAAAUGUCCUUCAUUGCCGCCGGUAAAACAACGGUUAUUGGCUGCCGGGCGGGGUGGCGUUGGCAGGGUCGGCCGGGGCACCUGCGGUUGGAAGCCUGGAAAACGAGGCGCUGUUACUGGCGGGGGUCGGGCAAUCCAUCUUCCUGACUGUUGGGGUCGGCCAGGGGCUUGUGGAGGAACCAUCUGGAACUUUCGAGUCGGCUGACUCGGAAAUGCCACAGAAGCUUUCCUCUUCUGGUCGGCCUUGAGAGCUUGCAUGCAAUCUUCUUGGGAAAUGGCCAGAUUGACCAACUCAUUGUAGGUAUCCACCUUGAUGGGGUUCAACCUUUCCCUGAGCUCCAAGCUCAGUCCUCGGCGGAAUCUGUCCCGCUUCUUCUCGUCUGUGUCCGCAUGAUAGCCAGCAUAACGGCACAGGUCAUUGAAAGCUUGAGCGUAAUGCAGCACAUCCCGAGUUCCUUGGGUGAGGGCCAGAAACUCGUUGAGCUUGCGCUCCAAGAGACCUUCUGGAAUGUGAUGCGCCUUGAACGCCGUCUUGAACUCAUUCCAACUGACCACGUGGCCAGCCGGCAGCAUGGCAUGGUAGUGAUCCCACCAAAGCCGUGCGGAGCCACGCAGCUGUUGGGCUGCAAACCGAGCCUUGUUGUUGUCGGGGCAUGGAGCGGUGAGAAGCUCAAACUUGGAUUCGAUCGUACGAACCCAGGCGUCAGCAUCGAGCGGUUCUUGUGUCUUUUGGAACAAAGGGAGCUGUGUCCCUAGAAAGUCCUCAUACCGAGCGAUAUGCGGCUGCUGCUGGGCUCUUCCACCAUGUGGUUGUUGCUGUUGCCCUUGUACCAGAUGCCUUAGCAGCUCGGUUUGAGUUGCUAGGAUUGCCUCCAGUGGCGAUGAGGGCGGGGGUGGGGGAAGAUCCUGUCGCUGAUCGCUACUGCCGGGCACAGAACCAGACCUGGUGCGAUGCGCCAUCUGCAAGAGUUAACGCUCCAUCAAUUUCAUAACCUUAGGUGUACCCCAACAAAUGGAACGUAUAAAUUAAAUCCUGCAAUGCGACUCUUGCCAUUGGUGCAAUCACACGUCCUCAUAGAGAAAACAUACUUUUUUCGUUCUCAGAGUAGAUAACAUCUAUCUUGACCUGGUACUCAAUCUUCAGGCAAAAACAGGUCAUAUACAGACUCCUAUGAUCCCACUCAAGCCAAGGGGUCGGGCUAGGCGAUCCUUCCGAGAGAACAAGGGGUCGGCAACGAUCCCUACUUAAAAAGGUCGGACGGGGCGGAAACUGCCUCAAGGGUCGGCGCACUCUGCCUCACAAACUGGGGUGGGCCAACUGAACAGGCUCCCCGAAAACAGCAUAUGGUCAUGGCGCAACUUACUUAACCUAGCAUCCACACCAUACGAAGAUGAAAAAGCCAGGCACCAGAAUCGACUUUAUAUACAACGAUGUUCCAAACACAGGGAGUACUCAACUCUAGGCUAACCUAUUACAACCUUUCCAAAACUAGGCUGCCAAGGAGUACAACAAAAGAAUGAUCCCCUGAGAACCCGCAAUCUACCAAUGGACACUAUGCGUCGGAGAAGGGGCGCCAUCUUCCUCGAUAUCCAUGCUGGACGCUCCCUCGUCUUCCUCAGGGUCCUCCUGAGCUUCGAGCUGCAUGUUGAGGGCAUGCAUAUCCUCGAGCUCAGCUUGAUGCUCCUCCAGAUAGGCAUUGGCAACUGCCAACUCCAUUUCCACCUCCAUCUUCUCCUCCGAUAGCUCUAUCAUGCCGUCCACGAGGUCGGCGACUUCUCCCUCAAGCUCGGAGAUCCGGUCUUGCAUGUCGUGGAUCUGGAUACCCCGUUGAAUAAGCUGGUAGGUUUGGCCUACCAUAUCUCUUCGGGCCGCUUGGAGGUACCCGUGAACAUCUGCUGCUGUCCGGGCGAAGAGGGUCAUGGCUCUCCCUUGAAGCUCUAUCAACCGGUAUAGAGCGGCCAUGCACCUGAUGUUGGUGGAGAUGGUGACCAUGGAGCAUGUGGUGGCUAGCACUUCGAUGUUCCCGACACGGUCAAGCCAUGCCGGGUCCAGCCGGUUCCUGACGGGGAAGAGGCCGAUCGGGUCGAGCGUGAUCUCCAAGGGGUGCAGCUAACAGAACUGGGUGAGCAACUGGAGGGCUGCAGACUCCCAUGUAUCCUCAGGACCAAGGCCAUAGGCUAUUAUGCCGAAGGAGGGCCAAUCGGGCCGUGCAGGGGGAGGAGGUACCAACGCCUGCACUUGGCACGUCUGGAUACCCUGCUCCAGAUAUAACCAUCCGGCAUACAAGGGUGGGGACUGGUACCCAAACCACUUCAACGUAUCCCACAGAAUCGCAGGGAAUCCCUCGAAAUGUAGACAUGUCGACUGGAAAGUACCGUCCGCUCCAAAAAGAACAUGUCCGGGAACAGCCAUCUGGAACCAAGAAACCGAAACCACGUGAGAUAGACUCCAAGGAUCAGGGGUCGGAUAGAGAAGCAUUCGGUUUUAACCGAGAGCAACUAAAAGAAACUAGAAAUCCUUAGAUCCAAAAGAACUCUUCCGAAAAAGGUUGCUGUUGAGAGGGAAACAUUACAGCAUUUUUAGACAUGACGCAUGCACGGCCUACCUUACACAUAACCAAAGCAACUGCCCGAACUCGGGUCUUACGUGGUCAGUGCCGGUGACAAGGCAACAAUUACGUCUCUCCCUAUAAUAACUAGUCGAUUCGACAACGUCUCCUAAACGAACGCGGUUAGCAUACCUGCAGAAAAACACCAACACACGAACCUUUCAUGCCAGCACCCACGAAAGCGUUCCCAAACAUUACCGCUCACUAUAGGAACGGCACCCAUGCGUUUAAGGCUGCAUGGACAGCACUCAACCGUGGAAAUAGGUUCCUUUUGAAUGGAACCAUAUAACCCUUCGCAUACUCGUGAUGCGGAAUCGGCACACGUAUGACAAACGUGGCGAACCAACCGUGCUGAUAGGUUCGUUGGAAUCGAACCGUACCAACCUUCGUAUGGAUCACAUACGGAACCUGCGCACGUGUGAUAGACAUGGGCGAAAACAACCGCGAAGAUAGGGUCCUUUGAAUGGAACUCCCUAUCAACCCUCGCAUCCUCGCGAUGUGGAACUCGGCACACGUAUGACAGACGUGGCGAAGUGCUGGAAGGGUUAGCAAAAUAACCAAGUACUUAUUAGUCACCUAAAACAACCCCCAAAAUCCCCUAGGGCCUCUCGCACUAAAGCCAUCCUUAGCGGUCGUACGAGAUUUUUCAAAAAGUUUCUUGCAACUUUUAUCUUUUCCAAAGAAGUGUGUAGGGCUUGUUGUGUUCUCUGAAAUGCUAAACACGGCUCUGAUACCAGCUGUGGCGGAUUCACUUCGGAUUAGCUUGAUUUAGAUAGGGUUAAGCCGCCUAACAUGCGACACUCCUGCCUAAGCCGAGUUAACACGAAGUGCCAUCGGAUUUCAUCCGAUUUAAGCACUUGAACAGGAUCGAGUUUAGCAACUCACACGAAGGUGAGUGGUUCCAGAGAAUACAACGAGUCCAAAGAGUUAGACCAAAUUACCGAUUUAGUUCGACCAUAAAAUCCAACAUCAGAGUUUUACAAGAUUCCAAGAAACAACAGAGAAAAACACUAGCGGAAGACUUCGACGGGGUCGGACAUCCCUGGUGAGGCCAACCGGGACAUCACUGGAUCCUCUCCUCGCCGUCCGAGGAAGGAUCCCACUCGACCGUCCAGCCUGGCGGAAGCUGGGGCGGCCAAGCACCAACCAGAGAGGGGUCGGGAGCAGCAACUCCACCUGAAAAACAGGAGCCACAACAAGGCUGAGCUACUAAGCUCAACAAGGCUUAACCGAUUGGAGUAAAACUACUCCUUCUUCUAGACAUGCAGGGCUUUUUGGCUGAGGGGUUUGUUUGCCAAAAGCACUAAGUAACCCUAUUUUCAAGUUUUAGCUCCGGUUCUAGGUUCAUUUACCAGUCUAGGUUAUGCCACCUAUUCUAAGCAUUCAUAGAACCAAACAAGAGGUAUAGAUACAUCAAUAAACAUGUCAUCAUCAGAUUCCUCAUUUACUCAGGGUGACAUAGCGAUCAAGCAAUCUCAAACUGUGAGAGGCAGACGAAUCGAUUCGAGUUCUUUAACCAUGCAUGGUGAACCUAGCCUCACGACAUCCGCGCACCCGGAGGUCGCUUCCUGUGUCGGCCUUCCCCAUCGAUCCCCUAACCCGUGUCGGGCCCAUUUCCUUUGGUGCAAGGUUCCACAGACCCGGCCUCUGCCGUUCUAUGACCACGCUUGCCACCACGUGCGACAACCAGCAGGGGAAACUCCGUUCCAAGAACAAUGGGGCGACCGCUCACGUCUAGGUUCAAUCUGGUACUAGGCUUCCUCAUCCCAUACUAAGUAUGAGGCUAGUACUUUCAAACACUUGAUCAUGAACACCACCACUGUCGGGCCUUAGCAAGUUUUCAUAGACAGACGGGGCUAACAUCCGACCACCAAAGAGUUACCAAAACCCUGCCCCGUCCAUCGUCCUUAUAGUUGUAACAGAAAGAUAGACAUCCAACUCCUACAACUCGCGAGUGACAGGAGAUCACUCGACUUUUACCGUCUCCUAGUUAAGCAAGGCGACUACACGGUCCAACAGCUAGUGCUCAGAUCAUGGGGACAACUAAGUCAUGCAUCUAGGGUUUCACACAACUCCUAUACGUAAAUGCACAAGCAUGUUACAGAAGGCAUGCACAAGUCUGGUAAAACACUCAAGGUUUUCAUGCAACCGGGGCUUGCCUUCAAGCAAGGAGGACGGGAACUGCUUGACUUCGGGGGCGACUUCGACUUCAGCGGGCAGGAACUUAGCUACAACUUCUUCUUCUGGUGCCGGGUGAAGCUCGUAGAAGCCAUCGGUGAGGUGCAGCUCUACACGAAUGCAAUGCAAGGGUUAGCAUAGACAGUUAUUUCAACAGCAACACUAGCUCGCCUGAGCCCAGAAACUUGCGACAAAGAGCAGGAGGGUGGGGAGGUUCAAGAGAGCUGGUGAUGAUCAAGAGGCAAGGGUAGGAAAGGAAACUGAUGAUCUGAUCCUUGAUCUAGAGGAUGUGGUAUUUUAGGAAGCCUCCGACGCAAGCGCUGAAGGGUUCCUAAAUUUACACAUACACCCUCGGGUGGAAGGAAAGAUCACAGCCGAACCCUCGGGCGAGGCGGAUAAGGGUCGGCGGAACAGACAGGGUCGGGCGAGACGGAACCGGGGUCGGGCGGAUAGGAGGGGUCGGGCGAGGCGGACUGGGGUCGGCAACUCACCUUCUUCCUGAAAGGAAAGCUUGGGGUCAGGAAGAAGCAGACUUGGGCGGAGGGACUAAAGCUUCGAACAAGGGCUAAGACUGGGAAUGCUACGGCGGAGGCGGUGCUUCUUGCAGAUCACAAGAGAGCUUUUACGCAGCAUGGAGGAGCAAGCUGCGGGGUGACUUGGAGAAAACUGAGAGAGAAUCUGAGAGAAGAACUCCUCAAGAACUUGGUGGGUGGCGCUAGGAGCUUGAGCAGGGAGCGAGAGAAUGGCUAAGGCAACAAUGGCGGAGGGAACUCCGGCGAUGGGGGCAUUCCUUUUAUAGCUGCUGGAACGGGGAAAGGAAGCGACACGGGAGAGAGAGAAGGGGAGCAGCGCGAAGGCCGGGGAGAGGCAAUGGAGUGCUCUGCCGGGGCGGCGAUUGAGCGAAGAGGGCGGUGGUGCAGGGCUCCGGGGGUGACGCCAGCGAUCAUUGGGUUCUGCCGUCAGGGCGGCGUAAGGGCGGGUAGACCGGUGGUUGAGAUUUGGCGGAAAGCGGGCGUCGCCGUGCGGAACAUUUGAUAGAAGCGACCGGUUUAACGGUGCUAGAAUCGAGGGCGCACAGGUGAGAAGACAGGCAGCUGCGGGCGCGCGGGCGAGCGCGGAGCAACAGAUUGUCGGGCGGCUUCUGAUAGGGCGGGGAAAGGAGCUGUCGCGGCCGCGGUCGGGGUUGGCGGUGGAGGAAUCGUCGUGUAGCGGAGACCAGGCGGCGCGACUGUGGCUGAAGGGACGGAAAAGACGGGCGACAUCGGGCUCUGGGCCGGGAUCUGGCGGCGUGAUGAUGGGCGCGGGAGGCGAGGCUCUGCAGAAAGGGGUGCAGAGGGGCUUCCGCUGCCAUUGGGGAAAAGGGCGCGAGAACCCACUUGGUCGCUUGCCAGAGACAAAACUGAGCGGCAGGCGUCGGAGAAGACGAGCCACGCGGCAGGGAGACUCUGAAGCGGGCAUGCAACUCGAGUGCGCCUGUCGUGGAGGAUCUGGGGAAAAGAUCUCGCGGGUCCACCGGUGGAUAGAACGGACGUUUGAGGAGGAUUAGAAGGAUCCGACGGUGGGCUGAGCUCGCCGGGGUCGGGAGAAAAGCGAAGCACGGAGGGGUCGGAUCUCCGGGGUCGGAACCAGGCGGAAGGCCGAGCACUCGGCGCGGUAAAACAAGACAGAUGACUCUGAUCAAGGGCUCUGAUCAAGACUAACUGGGAAGGUUUAGGGGUCGGUCGUUACAUAGCCACAUCAUCAAGAAGGCCGUAUAUUCUCUAUCUUGAAUUGUCCCGAUCCUCUUUUUCAUGUUGAUGAACCCUUUCCACCUGCCGAUUCCUUUUGUUUCCAGCCGAUGGGUCGGCUUGACCAGAUAAUUGAAAGGAGUAUCGGGGGAAGAGAUGUCAAGACCGGUCAACAUCACAACAUCGGCCAGAGUUGGGGUCAUGGGUCCGUGCCCGAAAAGAAAUGCGUUGAGAGAGUCAAACCAGAAGUAGGAGUCUGCUAUCACCAAGGGUUCGUUUCUCUCCAUCUGGGACAAGGAAAGGUUGAUGCACUAGCUGAUUUUCUUUUCAUCCCAUUGAACUCUCUUGGAGUUGGCCAUUCUUUGGUACCACUCUUUCCAGCCGGGGUUUUCAUUCGGCCAAGAUCUAAAGGUGCCCAACCACUAGUCCAAAUCCAUGGGUGAUUGUUUAAAUGGAAUCCUCUGGGUCUCUAAAUUAAUCAUAUCGGUUGGGUCCGGGUUCCCCAUAGGUCCUAAACAGAUGAGACCAGGAGCUUUGGAAAGGCAAAUAGUAAUUUGGUGUCUGACUGCCUAAAAAAGGAAAAAAAGGGAAGAACUAAGAACGGAUCUAAAAAGAUGCAUGGACGGUAAAAGUAAAAAGGAAAAAGUUCCGAAUGAGUACCUCUGGAAUGAAAGUCAUCGUUGCCGAUGGGGCUGCUGGUGGAGCUGCGACCACUGAUGAAGCCGCUGGUGGAGCCUCUAUCGCCGAUGGAGCUGUUGCCGCCGCUGAUGGAGCUGCCGGUGGAGCCUCCGUUGCUAGUGGAGUUGCUGAUGGUGCUGCCAUUGGGGCGAUGAAGCGGAAUGCAGAUGAAAGGGGGAUCACCGGAGAAUGCGGUUGGAAGCCAAAAGGGCGCCAGAAGAAGAUGGAAACUAGUGUGCCAGGAAGGAAGUUACUGGCUUGUGAAGAAGAAGUGCAAGGCAUGCCAGUAUUUAAAGGUGGUCCGAGGGGGGUAAAGGCUGGAUUUUUAUUGCGCCGUCUACAUGAAUUUCGGGGGGAGCGGUUGUCUCAAGCACCUGUUUCGAAAGGAUUGCAAUCAUCAUGUAGAAGACUGCGAAAUAGAAGGAGUUUUUUGCCGCGUUUAUUUCGGAGGAGAGGUUAAAAAAGAAUUUCGAAGUAAAAGUCAUGUUUUAUUCCGAAACUGGGGGGCAUGUGUUGACGCUAGAUUUUAACACGUAUGGGAUCGGCGUCAAGAGAAGAAAGGAUUGGCUGAUGUGAUGGAUUAAAAGGUUAUGAUUGGGAAUCGGCCAAUUGGUGCUACAGUAGAGAAUCGGCCGAUUGGCGCUACAGUGUUUUGGUGGAUGGAGAUCGGCUGAUUGGAGGGCUGGAGCGAUUGGGCCAAUGUGGGCUUAAAGUGGCUCCGAGAAAGGAAAGAGAGAAAGAUUGGCCCGUGGGAGUACAAUAACCAACUCCGAUACGAGUUGCGUUUCUAAAUAUUCAUUUUCAUUUAAAAUUAGAGAUAGAUCCUAGUCGGUUAGGAAAUUGGUUGUAACAGGCUAUAAAUAGUCAUCUUUAGAGAUUUGUAAACACACAUCAAUCAAUACAACAAUCUACUUUUUCAUCGUACUUUACUUUUAAGUCGGUGACUUCACCAAUACAUCUUUUUCUUUCACGAGUUCGUACGGGUUGGCAGGGCUGCAUAGACACGAUCUCGGCUGAUUCUGUAAGUUCCGUCUAUCGAGUAAUAUCUAAGCUUUAUUGGAGGUAUGCCCUAGAGGCAAUCAUAGAGAUGAUGAUAUUCCAUUUGUAUCCAUGAUGUAUGUUGUGUUCAUUGAAUAUCCAUUGAAGGCUACUAGAAUUGAUUUGCAAUUAUGUGAAUUGUGUGUGAAACUCUUUACUUGUAUGGGUAUUCUAAAGUUGUCCCUAGUCGGAGUUCAUGUGAGGACACAUAUGAAUAUUAGACUAGCACAUGUAUUAGUUGAUGACUAUGUUUCACAAGUCAUGGACAUGGAGAUGUUGAACUAAUAAUGUGGGCACAUGUGGAGACAUGUGCUAGGACUGACCCAACACGAGAAGUAGUUCUCUCUUUAUACAACAUAUAUGCUUUGUCCUUAGACCUGAGAUUGUCGCAUGUAAUCAAGAUGUGGAUCGACUUACAUAGGGGCUAUCAAAUGCUACGCCGUAACAGGGUAGUUAUAAAGGUAGCUUUCGGGUUUGUCAAGAAGCAUGCUAUGAGACAUGGUCAAUCAAGAUGGGAUUUUCCCCUCUCUGAUUGAGAGUGAUAUCUCUGGGCCCCUUGUGAUCGGAUCCGAAAAUGCAUGGCCAUGUACGUACGGUUAAGAGUUAACCUACAAAGGAAUUCUGAAUCACAGGAUCGAGAAAGAGCGGUCGGCUUGAAGCUAGACCAAAUAUCGUGAGGCAAAGGGAAUAGCAUGUAUAUAAUGUUGUGAUGGUUCGUCUGAUAUGAUCUUCGUGUGCAUAUAGGAGUUGGCACGUCUUGCUAGAGACCGCUACCGACUAUUGGGCCGAGUAGGAGUACUCGGGCCAUGUCUAUACGUAUCCGAACCCAUAGGGUCACACACUUAAGGGGCUGGAAGCCCAAUUCGGAUGUGAUCCGAGUUGGAUUAGGUUUAGAAGUACUAAUGGGCCUCGGACCCAGAGGCCCGUUAGGAACCUCUAUAAAUAGAGGGGUGGGGUCGCCCUAGGUUUUACACCUUUUGGUGAAACACAUCUGCCGCGCCUCCCACGCCGUCGCCUGUUGCAACUCACGGAUCUAGCAGUCCGGGUUGCGACGCUUCCUCCCUGCACGUGUGGAUACCUUGGAGGUGUUGCGCCUGCAGCACUUGGACGAGCCACCGACGAGCCAUGACAAGCCGCCGACGAGCCACAACGAGCCGUCGACAAGCCACGACGAGCCGCCGCCGAGCCGCGGCACGAGGGUGAUCUUGCUGCACGUGGACGAGCUGCUGAGGAGCUGCUGGACAUCGACGUGAUUGACUACGUACGACUACGUUGAUUAACUUCGCUGCAUCGACGCGAAUCUAUAUCUUCCGCACCAGUAGUGCGUCGAGUGGUAAUCCCGUGAUCCUUAUACAGCAGUUUUCCUGGUUUACGCGGUAGAAAUUUUAAUUUGCGCUAGUGUAGCCUACCUUAUAUCCAAACAGUGGUAUCAGAGCCGUAGCUGUUUAGUUUUGGAUUCGGGAUGUGUGCAUAUGGAGAUAUGCGAGUUUUCAGUUUGAUCUAUGUCCUGGUUUCGUGUUCUUGCUGCAAUGGUAGUGUAACGACAUACUCCUAAUGGUAGUGAUACACAUAAUUCCAGUUGCAGUGAGCGAAGAUCAAUGUGAUUGGUCGAAUCGAAAUCCAGGUUCAUACGGUAGGCGCAUGAGAUGUGCAAUAGUAGAUGGGAUCUACUACCGGGGUCGGCAUUUUGCCGUGUGCGUAUGCUUCGGUAAAUCAGUUGUAACUUUUCGGUACGAUCUCGGAUCAUGGCGAAUUUUAUAUGAAAAUUGAUCUAUAGAAAAAGUUACACAUGAAAUUCAAUGGUAAUGCCAUUUUUGGCGAAAUUAGAUUUCCCAAAUUCGGCUUGGAAGAUGGAGUUUCGGGCCUCCGAAGUUUGGAACGUUAGGACGCUUAACUCUGUUUUGCAGGAUGUAUGUAUCUUGUGAUCAGUAUGACCCCUUUGUGUAUGUGAUGCAUGUGUGUAACUCAUUCGUGACCUGCGUGUCAUGCGUACGGCAACACGGCAGGAGCCAUAUGUGUUGUCACUUUAAUGUAUUUAAUGGUCUGCGUACCAAUCUGUGAUGAUCCAAGCAACUAUGUAAUCUUCAUUACUAGCUUUUUACUAGCUAUUAGGCAUAAUAGCAUGUUCUAAUUCUUGGAGGACUCAUCACCAGGAGGAUGGUGCACAUGGAACAUGGAGAUGGAGAUCACCAUGGUGAACAGGUUCUAUGGAGAUGGAGAUCACUAUAAGAAAACGGGCCAUAUUGUGUCACAACUAUGUGAAUGCUAUUCUGUUUAUGUUUUACUUUCUGCAUGCUGUGAUGUUAGAAGUAGAACGAUCCCUCACAAAGUUUAAGUUAGUAUGCCCUCCCAACUAACACUUGCACCGUCCCAUGUCUUGUACAUUUAGUGGUGGGUCUAUGAAAUUAGGAUGCCACUAGUUUUCCUUGACUAGACGGGUUUGCGUCGGACACUUACAUGCAUAAGGGUUGGUUUGCUUAACAAGGUUAUCUUAACGGUUAAGGACCUUGGGGCAUAAGGUUGGGUGCCGAGACAUGGAGAUGUCACCCAACAACAGGAGUCAUAUGUGAUAUGAUUAGCAAAAGUUGCUUACCGAUCUACCUUGUUUGCUAGCGGUGAUGCUAAAGCUCACUAGUAGACUUGUUAGUUGUGGAUCCUGAAUCACUAAGUAUCAAUAGAGGGAUAUUGAUUUUAGUGGGAGUAGAUUCUGUUAAAAUAGUUUAAUGUGAUUUGCUCUAUCAUGGAUACGUUUGUCUUAGUGUAUUUUGCAUUACUUUUGUUGUAGAUUAAAUGGCACCAAGCAGCACUACACCGUUUGCUUUGCGUUCGGUCCUUGAGAAGGACAAGUUGAAUGGAACAAAUUACUCGGAUUAGAUCCGUAACCUAAGAAUUGUUCUUAGGGCUGAGAAAAAGGAAGAUGUUCUAGACAACCCACUACCAGAAGAACCUGCUAAUGAUGCACCUGCUGCUGCUAAGAAUGCUUACAAGAAAGCAUGUGAUGCUAACCUCGAAGUAAGCUGCCCUUUGCUUGCUUGCAUGGAACCCGAGCUGUAGAUGCAGUUCGAAACAAACCAUGAGGUGCACGAUAUGAUCAUGGCGCUUAGAGACAUGUUCCAAACACAGGCCAGGACUGAAAGGUUCAAUGUGUCUAAGGCCUUUGUGGAGAGCAAGCUAGCAGAAGGCGCAGCAGUAGGACCACACAUAAUCAAGAUGGUUGGUUACACUCAACGGUUGGAGAAGCUGGGGGCUUCCCACUGGGCCAAGUUGGCCACUGAUUUCAUUCUUUCGUCUCUUCCGCCUAGCUAUGGGAACUUCAUCUCGAACUACCAUAUGCAUGGGACGGAGAAGGGUCUGAAUGAGCUGUGUGACAUGCUUAAAAUAGCAGAGGCUGACAUCAAGAAAAGCGCUAGUAGCAGCCAUGUGAUGGCUAUACAGAACAAGCCUAGCUUUAAGAAGAAGGGCAAUUCUUGGAAGAAGAAGGGCAAGGCUGGAACGUCCAAGCCAAACCCAGCGCCCAAGGUUAAAGCUAGACCUGGACCUGCUCCAGACAAAGAGUGCUUUUACUGUCAUGAUUUUGGUCACUAGAAGAGAAAUUGCAAGCAGUACCUAGCUUCGUUGAAGAAUGGCGGAAGUAAGAGUACUUCCACCUCAGGUACGCUUGUUAUUAAUGUUAUAGACAACAUAUUUCUUGCUGAUACAAUUAUUAAUUCUUGGGUAUUUGAUACCAGAUCGGUUGCUCAUAUUUGCAAUUCGAUGCAGGGAAUGAUAAGAAGUAGAAGCGUGGAAAGAGGAGAAGUUGAUUUCCGCGUGGGCAAUAAUGCAAGAGUUGCUGCAUUGACCGUCGGGACGAUGCAACUCCACCUCCCGUCAGGAUUUAUUAUGGAGUUGAAUAAUUGUUAUUUCGUUCCUAGUUUAAGUCGAAACAUUUUGUCUCCUUCAUGCUUGAUGAAGGAUGGUUAUUUAUUUGCGAGUGAAAACAAUGGUUGUGUGAUCUUUAAGAAUGAUAUGUUUAUGGCUUUUGCACCCAUUGUGAAUGGAUUAUUUGUUUUAAAUCUUGAUGGUUCACCUGUUUGUAACGUAAGUGCUAAAAGGCCUCGGCCUAAUGAUUUGAGUCCUACCUACUUGUGACAUUGUCGUUUGGGUCAUAUAAGUGAAAAGCACAUGAAGAAGCUCCAUUCUGAUGGACUUCUAACUUCGUUUGAUUUAGAAUCAUACGAGACAUGUGUGAGGCUUGCUUGCUAGGCAAGAUGACCAAGACGCCUUUCACAGGAUUUCCUAAGAGAGCAGUAGACUUGUUGGAACUCGUACAUAGUGAUGUAUGCGGACCAAUGAGCACGACAGCUAGAGGAGGAUUCCAAUACUUCAUAACUUUCACUGAUGAUUUUAGUAGAUAUGGCUAUGUCUACUUGAUGAGGCACAAGUCUGAAACCUUUGAAAAGUUCAAGGAAUUUCAGAAUGAAGUUGAAAAUCAGCGUGGCAAGAAAAUUAAGGCCUUACGAUCUGAUCGUGGAGGCGAGUAUUUGAGCCACGAGUUUAGCAAUCAUCUAAAGAGUUGCGGAAUUAUUCCACAACUUACUCCGCCUGGAACACCUCAGAGAAACGGUGUGUCUGAGCGACGUAAUCGUACUUUGUUAGACAUGGUUUGAUCAAUGAUGAGCCAGUCUGACCUACCGUUGUCAUUUUGGGGAUACGCUCUAGAAACAGCAGCUUUCACACUUAAUAGGGUACCAUCUAAAUCCGUAGUUAAGACACCAUAUGAGAUGUGGACUGGAAAGGUUCCCAGUUUGUCUUUUCUAAAGAUUUGGGGAUGUAAAGUGUUUGUCAAGCGACUUUAGUCGAACAAGAUCACACCCAAGUCGGAUAAGUGCAUUUUCAUGGGAUAUCCAUGCAAUCCGAAAUAGAGUCCAUGGGAGACAAUCAAGUUUGGAACUUGGUUGACCCGCCUGAUGGUGUUAAAGCCAUAGAGUGCAAGUAGAUCUAUAAGAAGAAAAAGGACAUGGAUGGAAAUGUUCACAUCUAUAACGCACGACUUGUCGCAAAAGGUUUUCGACAAGUUCAAGGAGUUGACUACGAUGAGACUUUCUCGCCCGUAGUGAUGCUUAAGUCCAUUCGGAUUACUCUAGCUAUAGCUGCAUAUUUCGAUUAAUGAGAUAUGACAGAUGGAUGUCAAGACAGCUUUCCUAAAUGGAAACCUAGCUGAGGAUGUGUAUAUGAUACAGCCUAAGGGUUUUGUCGAUCCAAAAAAUGCUGGAAAGGUAUGCAAGCUUCAAAGAUCCAUUUAUGGAUUGAAGCAAGCAUCUAGGAGUUGGAACAUUCGUUUUGAUGAAGUGGUCAAAGGGUUUGACUUCACCAAGAACGAAGAAGAGUCUUGUGUUUACAAGAAGGUUAGUGGGAGCUCUGUAGUAUUUCUAAUCUUAUAUGUGGAUGACAUAUUGCUGAUUGGAAAUAACAUUCGUAUGCUUGAGUCUGUAAAGACUUCACUGAAAAAUAGUUUUUCGAUGAAGGACUUAGGGGAAGCGGCAUAUAUUCUGGGCAUUAAGAUCUAUAGAGAUAGAUCAAGAAGGCUUAUAGGAUUAAGUCAAGAUACUUACAUUGAAAAAGUGUUGAAGCGGUUCAGCAUGGAAGAGGCAAAGAAAGGGUUCUUGCCUAUGUCACAUGGCAUACAUCUUAGCAAGACUCAGUGUCCUUCGACUGCUGAUGAGCGGGAUCGCAUGAGUAGAGUGUUAUAUGCCUCGGCUAUUGGAUCUAUCAUGUAUGCAAUGAUAAGUACUUGCCCAGAUGUUUCAUAUGCGCUAAGUGUGACAAGCAGACACCAGUCUGAUCCAGGUGAGAGUCACUGGACAGCGGUGAAAAACAUUGUUAAGUACUUGAGAAGGACUAAAGAUAUGUUCCUCAUCUAUGGAGGUGAGGAGGAGCUCGUUGUAAUAGGUUACUCCGAUGCUAGUUUCCAAACCGAUAGAGACGAUUCAAAGCCACAAUCAGGAUUUGUGUUCACGCUAAAUGGUGGUGCUGUUAGUUGGAAGAGUUCCAAGUAGGAGAUGGUGGCCGAUUCUACGACAAAAGCCAAGUACAUCGCGGCUUCGGAAGCCGCGAAGGAGGGUGUUUGGAUAAGGAAUUUCCUCAUUGAGCUUGGUGUGUUCCCGAAUGCGUCCAGCCCAUUGAAUCUCUACUGUGAUAACAAUGGGGCAAUUGCGCAAGCAAAGGAGCCAAGGAACCACCAGAAGAACAAACACGUAAUGCGGCGAUUUCAUCUCUUUCGAGACUUCGUUAACUGGGGUUAGAUCAAGAUAUGCAAAAUACACACGGAUCUGAACAUUUCUGAUCCGUUGACAAAACCACUCCCGCAGGCUAAGCAUGAUGCGCAUGUAAGAGCUAUGGGUAUUAGGUACCUUCUAGAUUGACUCUAGUGCAAGUGGGAGACUAUUGGAGGUAUGCCCUAGAGGCAAUCAUAGAGAUGAUGAUAUUCCAUUUGUAUCCAUGAUUUAUAUUGUGUUCCUUGAAUAUCCAUUAAAGGCUACUUGAAUUGAUUUGCAAUUAUGUGAAUUGUGUGUGAAACUCUUUACUUGUAUGGGUAUUCUAAAGUUGUCCCUAUUCGGAGUUCAUGUGAGGACACAUAUGAAUAUUAGACUAGCACAUGUAUUAGUUGAUGACUAUGUUUCACAAGUCAUGGACAUGGAGAUGUUGAACUAAUAAUGUGGGCACAUGUGGAGACAUGUGCUAGGACUGACCCAACACGAGAAGUAGUUCUCUCUUUAUACAACAUAUACGCUUUGUCCUUAGACCUGAGAUUGUCGCAUGUAGUCAAGAUGUGGAUCGACUUACAUAGGGGCUAUCAAAUGCUACGCCGUAACAGGGUAGUUAUAAAGGUAGCUUUCGGGUUUGUCAAGAAGCAUGCUAUGAGACAUGGUCAAUCAAGAUGGGAUUUUCCCCUCUCUGAUUGAGAGUGAUAUCUCUGGGCCCCUUGUGAUCGGAUCCGAAAAUGCAUGGCCAUGCUACGUACGGUUAAGAGUUAACCUACAAAGGAAUUCCGAAUCACAGGAUCGAGAAAGAGCGGUCGGCUUGAAGUUAGACCAAAUAUCGUGAGGCAAAGGGAAUAUCAUGUAUAUAAUGUUGUGAUGGUUCGUCUGAUAUGAUCUUCGUGUGCAUAUAGGAGUUGGCACGUCUUGCUAGAGGCCGCUACCGACUAUUGGACCGAGUAGGAGUACUCGAGCCAUGUCUAUACGUAUCCGAACCCAUAGGGUCACACACUUAAGGGGCUGGAAGCCCAAUUCGGAUGUGAUCCGAGUUGGAUUAGGUUUACAAGUACUAAUGGGCCUCGGACCUAGAGGCCCGUUAGGAACCUCUAUAAAUAGAGGGGUGGGGGCGUCCUAGGGUUUACACCUUUUGGUGAAACACAUCUGCCGCGCCUCCCACACCCUCGCCUGUUGCAACUCACGGAUCUAGCAGUCCAGCUUGCGACCCUUCCUCCCUGCACGUGUGGAUACCUGGGAGGUGUUGCGCCUGCAGCACUUGGACGAGCUGCCAACGAGCCAUGACGAGCCGCCGACGAGCCACAACGAGCCGCCGACAAGCCACGACGAGCCGCCGCCGAGCCGCGGCACGAGGGUGAUCUUGCUGCACGUGGACGAGCUGCUGAGGAGCUGCUGGACAUCGACGUGAUCGACUACGUACGACUACGUUGAUUAACUUUGCUGCAUCGACGCGAAUCUACAUCUUCCGCACCAGUAGUGCGUCGAGUGGUAAUCCCGUGAUCCUUAUACGGCAGUUUUCCUGGUUUACGCGGUAGAAAUUUUGAUUUGCGCUAGUGUAGCCUACCUUGUAUCCCAACAAGCUUUAACUUCGGGUGCAUCGCUGUCGUUUCAUUUAGAUUUAUUCACCAGUUAUCGAUAUUUACUAGAAUUAUAAGUUUUAUAUACUGUUCUAGUUUUAUCACCAGUUAUCCAGCUUGAGAUUUGAACUAUCGACUCUAUUGUUGUUAUUUUUCAUUCAUCAUUAUCGCAUGGCUGAUUAGAUCUAUUUCGAGUGUUGCUUUUGUAGCUUUAUCUAGUUUACUCUACUAGUUUUCUUUGUGAUCGCUACAUGAUUGUCGGCUGUAUCAUAGCCAAUUAUCUUUAUAUAGCAAAUCGGCCAAUUUGCUGAUACGCUUUUCGAGAUCAGAACCUUAGCCGAUCGAAGCCCCUGGAAUUUGACAUGUUUUCUUCCUUGCCAAUCAACAGGUUAGAUUGGCUAGCACGCUGCGCGAACCGCACCAGGAAGAUUAUCCGAACAGGAGCUAAGCAGAUUCUCCCGGGUCGUGUGUCCGACGCUGAAGGUCAAUCAGCUGAUUUUUAGCGCCAACAGACGUAAGCCUAGAUAGCACUGGUGUCUUCCUAAGGUUUGUUUUACCAUAAAAAUAAUUCCUUAUCCUUGACCUCUGUGAUGACUAUUCUCGCUCCUUAUACAUUUUAUCUACGCCUUGAUUGCUUAUUUUUGAACAACCUUAGCUCCUGAUUGUUUACCCCCACCUUGUUUUGCUAUCGCUAAACCCUCAAUCCUUGUCUAUUGACUCAUUCUCUCCUUGAAAAAAAAAUUAUUUUUGCUACUCGCACCUUCAAUUACCUUUCUUGUUUUUGCUAAAACCUUAACCCUUGUCUGUUUAUUCUUUCUCGUUGAUGCCUUUUUGAUCUUCAUCAUACGUCUCGUUUGAUGAAUUUCCCUAUCUGGAUGCAUAUCAUCUCCUUAAUUUAAUUGUGAUAUUGUUACCCCCUCAUCCUUGCUCAUUUAUCUCCUUGGUAUUUUCCUUGUCGACCUAUUUAUCCUUGUAAACCAAUCUCCUCCUUGAUUUUAAUUUGAAUAUAUCCAUCUUUUCCCGUUGUACCUCUCCUUGCUUUUCAAAUACCUUGGAAUCUUUCCCUUGAAUUUUGAUUCCAAAGUAUCUUUUCUAAUUUAAAAAAAAUGUUUGGAUGAUCCACGCCUCCUAUUCUAAAGCCUGUUUAAGUCAUCUGAAGAAUGAAGCUAUCGGUUUAUCACAAGAAGUCAAACCUCAACGACUGAAGAAGUAAUCCCUUCAUAGGAGUACCCCUUUACAGCUUUACUAACAACGAUUAGCAUCGUUCCUUGCCUGUGUUGAUUGGUGAAGUUCUGUGUGUUGCUUGAUGAUGCUUGUCUUUAUGACCUUGAUUGAGUUGGUUCUUUGUAUUGAUUGUUGGUGUAUUGUGGGUCUUCUACCUACAAUGACAUUAGUUUUCUAGCUGGGUUCUUCUUUUGACCUCCCACCUCAUUGUUAUCCUCCUUUCUUUCUACUCAAUCCAAUGAAGAAGGUCGAAAGAAGGAAACUGAAGGCAACACCAACACAUCAACAAGCAGAUGUUAACAUCACCACCACCAUCUCGAUGGAAGCAAGUUGAAGAUUUGAAGGCUUUACUUUGAUCUCCCUAAUCUUACUCCAAUGAAGAUUUCAAGAAUCAAGAAGAUGAAGAAAGCAGAAAUUCUACUCGCAACAAGCAAGGAUGAAAGACUAUCCACUCUACUAGAAGAAUCUUGUUGUCUACCUCCUCUUCAUUUCUUUAUCUCUCUUUUCAAAUAUGUAUGUGCUUCCCACCUCCUUGUUACCUUUAUUUCUAUCUAUCAACUCUGAUGGACAUCAAGAAAGCAAGUAAAGGCAACAUCAAUGUCAACAAGCAGAUGUUAUCGCCAUCACAACCGUCGAAAUAGAAGCAAGUCGAAGAAAAGAAGUUCCUACUCUAGUUUCUUUGCUAUCCUGUUGCUUUCUAUCCUCCCAUCUAUCUCACUCUGAAGACAAUUCAAGAACAGAUGAGGAUAUCAUCAAGUACUCUAUCCUGUUCUGCAAUUUUAUCCAUUUCUAUUCUCUAUUCUAAUCUUAUCUUUAUCACCCAACCAGAUGGCGAGUCCUAGUGGAAAUCAUGAAGAUAGCGCCAAUGAAGGUGACCUCAACAUUCCACCCGAAGCCUCAUCGUUUGAAUGCAAGAUGUUAGAGUAUAUGGCAACACAAAAUCGGACUUUACAAGCAGUGGCUCAAAGCUUGGUCACUACCCAUCAAUAUAUCACAGAGCAAGCCUCACUUACUCGAAACAACAACUCUAUCACCAGUGGUGACAAUCAAGUUUAGCCUGUUCCACCACCGUUUGACAAAGGGAAGCUAUUAGCCAUGCAAGCUCAAGACUUACAAGGAAUGAUGCAGACUAACAUGGAGACGAUGAAGGCUGGAAUUCCCACUGAACCAGUGAAGAGGCAAGUUGCUGAAGCAGGGAACCGUCAAAGGAACAAGACAAGCCAUGAAGCGCCAGAGCCAGAAAUGGAGAGACAACAUGAGGAUGUUAAGAUUCCAGGAAAAUGUCAAUGUUGUGAACACCAUGGACUUCCAUGUCUCCAAGAAGAAGAUAGUCUAAUGACAGUUGAAGCCAGACAAUGUUAUUAUUUAGACAUUAAUAAGAAGAGAAAGUUGUAUUCCCAAGGACCGAUGCUAGAGGAAGUUACUCAAGAUGAAGAUAGUACUCAGACUAUGCACCUUGAGGGUUGGAGUAUCUCUUUCAAAGAAUUUCAGCCCAGUCGAAGUAGACAAGUCAAGAAGCCAACUAGUAAAACAAGCAAAGCGCAGGGAUCGAACCCACAACCUCAGACCACAAAGAGUGCAAGCAAUACCACAACUAGUAAAGCAAGUCAAGAAAAGGAUGAUCGACCCCAGGACCAAGGACCCAAUAGCCCCGCAUUCAGUCCGACAACAUCAGUUGGUCUCUUAAUCAAGACGAACGAUCGGAAUGCCUCAGUUAGGAAAGAAUGCCCUCACAUUCCGAUGCUCAAUUGUCAUACCACAUGCAGUUGCCAAGGUUUCAAAACAAGAAAAACAUGUUACUAUUGCAAAGAAGGACAUUUCAAAAAUCAGUGCCCUAAGAAGCGUCUGGACCAAAAGGAGAAGAAGACUAAAGGAUGUGUAUGAAGAGUUGAGUAUGAUUCAAGACAAACAAGUCAAAGAGAAGACAUCAAGCUCUAUUCAAAUCACUUUAUCAAGAUAUGAGUGAAGAAUCUUCAAAGAUGGAGUAAUGAAGGAAAAAAAGAAAUGGAUAGUUAAAAGAUGAAUUAGACUACAUAUCCCUGAAGUGUUUCUGUCUUUAUGUGAGUUGUGGAGAAUAAAGAAGUAUGAUUGAGAAGCUUAUGUAAGGAUGAACGAUCUGGAAGAAAAGCUAAUACGUGUUGGAUGCUACCCACCUAAACCUUUGUCUCUUGCUAGCCUUUGCGAAUCUUGGGACGAGAUUCUUGUUAAGGGGGGUACUGUUAUCACACCCUGAUAUUUGGAUGUGAUUAAAAAGAAAUAAUUAAACAACGAUUUUCUAUAAUUUAAAAUUUUUGCCAACAUUUAUUUUCUUUUCAGGAAAUUUAGUAUAGGAAAAAUAAUUAUUUGUUUUCAAAAUUAAAUAAGGUUGUUGUUCUCUGUCUCUGCAUUCAUGCUGAUGUAUUUUGGAGUUUUAUGAGUGAAAAAGUUUCAAAAAUACGUUUAGACGUUGUCCAAGUUCUUCUUUUCCUUGAGCCUAAUCCAAUUUUUUUUGGAUGGUUCUAAAAUCCUUUUCAUGAGCUCUAAAUAUUUUAUUUGGAUUUCUUGUGUCCCGAUCUAUCUCUGGGAUUUUUCCUAGAUUUUUUGGGAUUUUUAGACUAUUUUUCGUUGUUCAAAGUAUUUAUCUAGAAUUUUCUGGAUUUAUAUUCCCAUGUAAAAUAAUUUCUAAAAAAUAAUCUAAUCUUUCUUUUUUAAAUGGGCCGACCCGCGAACCCGGCCCGCCUCACACCAGCCCAGCAUGCUGCCAACCUUUUUCUUCUGCCGACCCGGCCCAGCUCUCGGCCCAGCUCCUCCUCUCUCAGGCCGGCCUCGCCUUCCUCUUCCACCGGCCUGGCCCACCACCUGUCCCUCUCUCCCCCUCACUGCCAGGCAGGCCCUGCCUGUCCCUCUCUCCCCCUCACUGCCAGGCAGGCCCUGCCUGUUCGAUCCACCUUCCUCCUCUAGCCGCGCCACCAGGCCAAGUUGCGCCGCCAUCCCAGUGUCCCUCCACCUCUCGGAGUCGCUCCGACUCUCCACGCCCCACGCCCCCUCAGCUUCCCGUGCCCGCUCGCCUCCCGCACGAGCGCCGCCUGCCCCUCCAUUUCCUCUCCCCCACCGGAAACCGUCGCCCCCACCGCCGGUUGCCAUUAAUGGUUGCCGCCGCCCUUUCCUGUCCACCAGCGCCCCCUCCGCUCCCCUGUCCCUUCGCCCUAUAAAACGAGCACCUAAGCCCCGGGAGUCCUUGCUGCUGCUCGCCUGCCACCUCGCUGCUUCGCCAAGCGCCGCCGCACCAAGCCUCCGAGCCGCCGCUGCUUACCCGCGCCCGCCGCCGCCUGUGUUGCCCCUGCGCUGAGCUGCCGGGCUACCUGCGCUGUUGUCCUGGCCGCCCGCUGCACCGGUGCGCCACCACUGCCGCAACUGUGCACGCUCUGCCCCCUUUGGCCCGGCCAGCAGCCGCCGCCGAUAAUCUGACCGGCCACACGAGCGGAGCAAGCAGGAAUUGGAGGUAGAAGUGUUGACGCCAGAUUUCGUCACUAGUAAAAUCGGCGCCAAGAAGAGAGGGAAUCGGAGAAGCACAGUUGGGAAUUGGUCGAGUGGUGCUACAGUGUGAGAUCGGCCAGUGACUUCUGUCUUGCUUCGGAUCGGACGUGCCGGGGUCCCAAUCGGUUGCCUUUUGCCGAUAAGGAUUCGGCCGAUUAGGAGGUUGGUUUAAUUGGGCCUGUAUGGGCUUGGAAAGGAAUAAAAGGAUAAGGGGGAGAUCAGCCCAUGAAGCAUAGAGUAACCAACCUAGCACGAAUCGUGCUUCUAAAUAUUCGUUUUUUGUUUGAAUUAGGGAUAGAAUUCUAGUCGGUUAAGAAGUCAUCUGUACGGGGCUAUAAAUAGCUACCUUUGUAAAUCUGUAAUCAUCAACAAAUCAAUACAACAAGCUACUUUUUCCUCGUACUUACUUUCAAGCAGGCGACUUCGCCAAUACUUUUCUCUCUUUCACGAGUUCGUGCGGGUUGGCAGGGCUGCAUCAGCUUGAUCUCCGGCCGAUUCUGUAAGUUCCGCUUAUCGAGUAAUAUCUAAGCUUUAACUUCGGGCGUAUCGCUGUUGUUUCGUUUAGAUUUAUUCACUAGUUAUCGAUAUUUGCUAGAAUCAUAGGUUUUACCUGUCUUUCUAGUUUUACCACCUGUUACCCAGCUAGGAAUCGGUAGUUUCGGCUCUCUUCACAUUCUGCUAUUAGAUUCAUCUAUUGCCGAUUAGACCUAUUCCUGGUGUUGUUAUCAUAGCUUUGUAUCGAUUACUCUAGUGGUUUUCUGUCUACAAGGCUACAGUGAUCGGCUGUUUUAUAGCCGAUUCCUUUAUUACGGCAAAUCGGCCGAUUCGCUGAUAAGCUCCCUCGAGAUCGGAAACUUAGCCGAUCGUGAUUUCCGGACCUGACACGCAUUCUUCCUUGCCAAUCAACAGGUCAGAUUGGCUGGCACGCCGCGCGAACCGCACCAGGGCAAUCACCUGAACAGGAGUUAAGCAGAUUCUCCCGGGUCGUGUGUCGAACGCUGGGAUUCGGUUGACCGAUUUCUAGCGCCAACACACUUUUGGCACGCCUGGUGGGACAAAUACAACCGCCAUCAUGUCGAAAGCUGCUGAAGUCUCCGAAGAUAACGUCAUUGAGGUGACGGAAGCAGAUUUGAAGGACGACCAGAAGGAAGAAUUGGAUAAGUAUACGGCGCAGUUCCGGAAAGCUUGCCUAAAGUCUUUCAGUCACUCCAGAAGCGGGGAGACUAUCAAGAAAAAUCCGUUCCCUGCUCCCCGCCAAAUCACAAUUUCUGAGGAUUUGGACAAAAUGUCCAAUAUGAUUCAACAGUCUAUUUAUCACGCCUUCGUUGAUCAGUCCCCAGUACUUUCAAAUAUGGUGCACAACGCCGUUGUCAACUCCUUCGCUGGUGGGAUACCUCAAGGAUACAGGGGACCGGCAUAUUUUCAGCCGAUUCCACCAAACUAGAAUCAUUCGAAUUCGGUUUCACAGCCGAUCCAAUUUUCUGUCGGGGUUUUAGGUGCUUCUUCGUCAUCAGCUCCUAUGGGGUAUAACUCCAUCCAACUGUCCUCUGCACCAUUCCCUCCAGUUAGCCCAUCACCCUGGGGGGCACCUUCAGCCACGGCCGGUCAGAAUCAAUCGGCCAGUCAAGGAAACCCUCCAUUCCAGGCAUCUUUCCAGGCGGCCAUUCGGCCGACCGUACCGCCAUACCAGCCUGUCGCUCCAGAGGUCAACAAGACAGCAGAGCUCAUGCUAUAUGAUGAAACGACUGGCUCAUUCAAACAACCGACCUUUACUACACAGCCAGCUUUCACUCAGAUACCACCUGCUUUCAAUCAGCCUCCGUUUGUUCCGCCUCCGGUUUACCAGCGCGUGCCAAUACCUCAGCCAACGGUUCACCAGCAACAGCCAGAUUGGUCGGCACGUAUUGCGGAGGUGAUGCAAGAAAAAUUCGGCUUGAAGCCGAAAGUACAAACUUAUACCUACAGGACACCAUACCCGUCUACAUAUGACCUAUUGCCGUUCCCCCAUCGGUAUAAAGUUCCUGACUUCACUAAAUUUUCGGGGAUGGAUGACACUUCGACCGUAGAGCACGUGAACAGAUUCAUCAUCCAAUGCGGAGAGGCAGCCACGCAGGAUGCCCUACGGGUACGGUUGUUCUCAUCAUCCUUGUCUGGUUCGGCCUUUCAAUGGUUCACGACAUUGCCGCCAAACUCGAUUAUCACAUGGGCCGAUUUAGAAAGACAGUUCCACAAAUACUUCUACGCCGGGGUGCAUGAGAUGAAGCUGUCCGAUUUGACCAGCCUCAGGCAAAGAAGUGACGAGCCGAUAUCCUCGUAUAUACAGAGGUUUCGGGAAAUCAGGAACAAGUGCUACUCCCUGGCUCUAAACGACGCGCAGUUGGCCGAUAUAGCUUUUCAAGGCCUUCUGCCCCACAUCAAAGAAAGAUAUGCCUCACAGGAGUUCGAGAGUUUGAGCCAGAUUGUCCACCGAUUGUCUGGACAGGAGGUACGUGCCUUCGAUCCACGGAGGAAUUUCCAGAAGAAAGUGGCGUUCCUGGAAGAAUUAGAGGACGAAGAAGACGUUGAAGUCGGACUUGCGGAGUGGAUCAAGGGAAAGAAGCCGAUAUCAUGCCCUUUCGGAAAAAAGGAACCGGAAGUGUUCGGCUUUGACACAACUAAGGCCGAUAAGAUCUUCGACCUUCUCCUCCAGGAAGGACAGAUUAAACUCUCGCCAUAUCAUACAAUACCUUCUGCCGAACAACUAAAAAAGAUGAAGUACUGCAAGUGGCACAACGCCACAUCCCAUGAUACUAAUGAGUGCAAAAUCUUCAGGCAGCAGAUACAGUCGGCCAUUGAGCAGGGCAGACUUAAAUUUGAAGUGCUGACAAAAUUGGCCAAGCCAAUGAAGAUCGACCAACACCCCUUCCCCACCAACAUGGUUGAUACGGGAAAGAAUUCACUACAAACAAAAGUGCUGACGUCCGAAUCGGCUAAAAAGAGUGGCGUCGUCGACCCCAGAAAUCAAGUUACGCCUGAAGACGUCAAAGGGAAGCGGCGGAUGGAGGAUGACGAUGGCGAAUCAGAAGAGCCACGCAUUACUUCCCAGUUCCUGCUCCAGAAGUACCAACGUCAGCAUGAACGCUCAAGGUCCCGGGAAGAAGCGAUGCGACGGCACGAAGAUCAUUGGAGGUGCCCGUUCUUCAUCCACUGUUGGGAAAACAACCUCAGGCUACCUUCGGCCAAUAAUUGCCCAGAAUGCAAUGGUCCAUAUCGUGGCAAUCGGCCGUUCAACAGGUCUCGCUCCAGAGACGGAAGGCCAGAACCGAUCAGCAGGAAUUGGCGCAACCAAGAUGACCAACGCCCUCCCGUGCGUGAUCGGUUGGGGGGCAGAAGUGACCGAUAUGAUUGGUCGGAAGAUAGACGCCAUGAUAGGCAGGGGGGCAGGACUGAUCGGCAUGACCGGUCAGAAAACAAGGCCAACAUUCACAGCCGGCUCGAAGAGAUGGCCGAUGCUCGGGUGACAGACGAAAACCCGUUAGGACGCGAACCGGAGUGGGAAUGCGCCAAGUCAGGUGGCAGACCAAUAAACCCUAGGUGGUGUCCCGAUGGAUUGACCAAGUCCCAAAAACGAAGAAUCCAACGUCUCCGCCAAUAGGAACAGCAAGAAGAGGAAAGCACGACGGACAAGAAGGAAGGAAGGCCUCGGGUGUGGCGCCCCAAAAGAAACGAUGAAGGAGACGACGAAUCGGCGGGUGGCGAAUCGGCAGCCGAGAUCGGCAUGGUUUUCAUACUGCCGAUGGAAUUCAUGACUCCCGCCGAUCAGCAGGAUAUAUCAGCGAUAGAAGACCAAACGGCACAGUUGGCUUUGGAGCCAAUGAUGGCCAUGUUCGAGAAGCCCGAAGAUGACGAACGACAACACAUGAAGGCACUGUUCCUUAAAGGGCAUGUCGACGGCCGCCCCCUCACUAGACUGAUGGUAGACGGAGGAGCUGCAGUCAACAUCAUGCCGUACGCCGUGCUCCGGAAGCUUGGGAAAAGCGACGACGACUUGACCAAGACAGACAUGAUGCUCAAGGACUUCGAGGGCAACGUGUCAAACGCUCGCGGCGCUCUCUGCGUCGACCUCACCAUCGGCAGUAAGACCCUUCCUACCACCUUCUUUAUUAUUAAUGGGAAGGGAUCCUACAACAUGCUACUCGGCCGGGACUGGAUACAUGCAAACUGCUGCAUCCCGUCAACAAUGCAUCAAUGCCUCGUGCAAUGGGUCGGCGAUAACAUCGAGGUGGUCAACGCCGAUUCCGCGUACAGCAUCGCGGCAGCCGACACGCAGCAGUGGAGCUGCGAAACCGUCAGGUGCAUAUCCGGCAGAGUAUGGGAGACUGAUUUCCUGAAGGUCACCGAUUUUGGCCUACAGCCGAUCCGAGCAGUCGGCUCCGAAGACUCAGAGUAGAUGGAUCAGUUCGCCCGAGAAGAUGGGAAGCUAGGGCACGGGUUCACGUCGGCCGAUUCAUUAGAAAUGGUAGACUUAGGCGAUGGUACCAAACCAAGGCCGACUUAUAUUAGUGCAAAUUUAGACCCAGAAUACAAAUGUAAAUUGACAAAUUUGUUAAAAGAAUUUAAGGAUUGUUUUGCUUGGGAGUAUCACGAGAUGCCCGAUUUGGACCGAUCUAUUGUUGAACAUCGGCUACCCAUAAAACCAGGGUAUCGGCCGUACCAACAGCCUGCACGGCGCUGCAAUCCUAAGAUUCUACCAGAUAUUAAAGCUGAAAUAACUCGGCUAAUCGAAGCAAAAUUUAUUCGGCAAUGCCAUUAUGCCGAAUGGAUCUCCAACAUUGUACCAGUAUACAAGAAAAAUGGAAAGCUACGCGUUUGCAUUGAUUUCAGGAAUCUCAAUCAGGCCACACCGAUGGAUGGUUACCCCAUGCCAACGGCCGAUGUACUGAUCGACGCUGCCGCGGGGCACAAGAUUAUUAGCUUCAUGGACAGAAACGCUGGGUACAAUCAAAUACUUAUGGCCGAAGAGGACAUACCCAAAACGGCCUUCAGAUGCCCAGCACACCUUGGCUUGUUCGAGUGGGUGGUGAUGACUUUUGGCUUGAAGAACGCUGGUGCUACAUAUCAGAGAGCCAUGAAUUACAUAUUUCACAAACUCAUUGGCAUUCUGGUAGAGAUCUACAUCGAUGAUGUCGUAGUCAAGUCCAAAGGUCACGAAGAGCAUCUGGCCGAUUUACGAAGAGUGCUAGAGUGUACCAAAAAACACGGUCUUAAGAUGAAUCCCAAUAAAUGUGCUUUCGGCGUGUCCGCCGGACAGUUCUUAGGAUUCAUGGUACACGAACGAGGGAUAGAGAUCAAUCGGAAGACCAUAGCGGCCAUCAACAAGGUCGUGGCCCCGCAGAACAAAACCGAACUGCAGUCUUUAAUCGGCAAGGUGAAUUUCAUCAGAAGAUUCAUAUCUAAUCUAUCUGGGCGGAUUCAGGCGUUCGCACCACUGUUGAAGUUAAAGCCUGACCAGGAAUUCAUAUGGGGGGAGGAGCAGCGCAAAGCAUUGGAAGAUAUCAAGCAAUACUUGAUCUCGCCACCAGUAUUGGUUCCUCCUCAAACUGGUAAGCUGUUUAAACUAUACUUAUCAGCCGAUGAAAAAGCUAUUGGGUCGGCUCUAGUCCAGGAGUACGAAGGCAAGGAACGAGUAAUUUAUUAUGUCAGUAGAAGACUUCUGGACGCUGAAACAAGAUACCCUCCGGUGGAGCGUUUGUGCCUAUGUCUUUACUUCUCAUGCACCAAACUCAGGCACUAUCUACUGUCGGCAGAAUGCGUGGUCGUAUGCAAAGACGACGUAGUAAAAUACAUGCUAUCACUGCUGAUCUUGAAAGGCCAAAUCGGCAAAUGGAUCUUAGCUUUGUCAGAGUUUGACCUGCGGUAUGAAUCGGCAAAAGCCGUCAAGGGUCAGGUCAUGGCCGAUUUUGUCGCCCAGCACUGCGGACCGGAGAUUGCCCUCGUAGAGCUGGCACCUUGGAUAUUAUAUUUCGAUGGGUCAUCAUGUGGGGUCGGAUCAAGAAUCGGCAUCGUUCUCAUAUCGCCUCGGGGGGGCAAGCUAUGAUUUUUCUCUGCCGAUAGAAACCGCCGCUACUAACAAUCAAGCGGAGUACCGAGCUGUAUUGAAGGGCCUACAACUAUUAAGGGAAGUCAAGGCCGAUUCUGUCGAAAUCUUCGAAGACUCCAUGCUUAUUGUGGAUCAACUGACCGGAAGGUCCGAAUGCAAAGACGACGUAUUAAGAAUUUAUUACGAAGAUUGCUUACAGCUCUUAAAAGAAUUUAGAUCGGCAGUAAUCGAGCACAUCCCAAGGGACCGCAACGAAGAUGCCAACAAACUCGCCCAGCACGCAUCUGGAUAUCGGCCAAUUCUAGGCGCUAUGGCUCUAGAACUCACGGCCGAUGACUGGCGUAAAGAAAUUGCUGACUACCUGAAGGAUCCGUCUAAAAAGGUGGAACGACGAGUACGUUUUCAUGCUACUAAAUACGUACUGCUUGAAGACGACCUGUUCUACCAAACGAUCGACGAAGUUCUUCUCAAAUGCCUUGGGACAGAGGAGGCCAAGACUCUAAUGGGAGAAAUCCAUGAAGGGGUAUGUGGAGCACACCAAUCGGCCCAUAAGAUGAAAUGGAUGAUCAGGAAUAAUGGGUACUACUGGCCAAUGAUCCUCGAAGACUAUUUCAAAUAUUAUAAGGGUUGUCAGGAUUGUCAAAAGUUCGGAAAUGUCCAACGUGCAUCCGCAUCGGCCAUGAAUCCUAUCAUUAAGCCAUGGCCGUUCAGGGGAUGGGGAAUAGACCUUAUCGGCCAAAUUUACCCACCAUCAAGCAAAGGGCACAAAUUUAUUCUGGUGGCUACUGAUUACUUUACAAAAUGGGUAGAGGCAAUUCCGUUAAGAGCUGUGACAUCGGCUAUCAUGGCCGACUUCGUAAGGGAUCACAUCGUCUACCGAUUCGGCAUUCCUCAGACUAUAACGACCGAUCAAGGAACAAUGUUCACAUCGGGGGAAUUUGAGGAAUUUACGACCGAUAUGGGGAUCAAAUUGUUGAAUUCUUCUCCGUAUUACGCCCAAGCCAAUGGCCAGAACGAAUCCUCCAACAAAGGGAUAAUCAAGUUAAUCAAAAGGAAAAUCGAAGAACAGCCAAAAAAGUGGCAUCUGUGUUUGACUGAAGCCUUAUGGGCGUACAGGAUGGCUUGUCAUGGGGCUACCAAGUUAUCUCCCUAUCAGUUGGUGUACGGUCACGAUGCAGUACUACCAUGGGAAUCGAGGGCGGGGUCGAGGCGUAUUUCGCUCCAGGACCAGUUAACGGCCGAUGACUACUCGUCACUUAUGAAAAGGGAACUUGAUGAUUUGGCUGGCCAACGAUUGAGAGCUCUGAUAAGCAUUGAAGAAAAGAAAAAGAAAGUAGCCAGGUGGUACGAUAAGAAGGUCAAAGUCAAACAAUUCUCCCCUGGGACUUAGUAUGGAAGUUAGUAUUGCCGAUUGGGUCGAAAGAUCCUAAAUUCGGAAAGUGGUCCCCUACAUGGGAAGGGCCGUAUAAAAUCGGCAGAUGUGCUCCAGGGAAUGCUUACAUUUUGGAAACAAUAGAGGGAGAAGAAUUUACUAGAGCUCUAAACGGAAGGUACUUAAAAAGAUACUACCCCAGUAUAUAGGUCGGAGCAUAAGAGAUUAACCGUAAUACGAUCACACACAGCCGAUACAAAACGGUUCAAACACAUAGUCGUCCAAAUCGGCCGAUGAAUUCAUUCGGUACGGGCGAUGGGUUACACGGCCGACAGAACACAAGUCACCCUUAGAACAAAAAAUACAAAUAACUAAUUAUUUUUCUUCUUGCGCUCCCUCCCAGUCCGAUCCAACUCGUUCAUAAUACGGAGGUAUUCUUCUUCUAUUUCUUUCAUUGAAGCCUCCGCUUCAACUUGACGAGGGAGAGGAUGGCUCCAAUCCGUGGCCGGGCACGAAGUUCCCGCCGUCGCGUCUUGAAGAACGACUCGCGGAGGAUGCGGAUGGCUCCUGUCGGUUGGAGAGCGUCGGCUACCAUUGCUCUCCACAAACUCCAGGACCACACGAGCUUCCGCGGUGACGUGGUCUCGAAGUUCGUCAUGGUGAGCCCUGAUCAGCUCCAUAUCCUCUGACGACAAUGGGUCCUCAGAGUGUAUGAGCUCAAUGGCGCGUAUGAGCUCAGGGCUAAGACAUUGGGGCUGAAACAAAGAAAGAUUAAAAAAGGGCAUCCUCUUCCUAAGAUCUAAAAGGAGAAAGAGGAGUCGAGGCCAAAGUUUCACCUGGUUGACAGAGGAGGAGGAAGCCGACGAAGACAUGACAGAAAGCCGCGCCGACGAGAGGAGUAAGGAAAUAAAAACCGAAAGCCGAACUGGUACGUUCGGAAGGAAGUGCCUAGGCCGGUACUUAUAAGAAGAAGAGGCGUGGAAAUUUGGUAAGGAUACGUCCCAUCGGAAAUAAGGAAGGCAAUAAAUAGAAAGGGCGUCGCGAAGGGCGGUCAAAGCAGAUAGUAAAUGUUCGUACAAAACAGUUAGUGUUUUACAGAUUACCCAGAAGGGUAUCGAUAGCCGUGAUUGCCCGACGUCGGAUCUGAUCGGCAGAGUCCAGGACCCGUUGGUCUUCAUCCGCCGAUCUGGGGACUUCUGAAGCGCUGCGGUGGAGUUUUAGGGCCUCGUGGGCCAAGCGCUGCCUCUCCCGUGUCAAAUCGGCAAUGACAGAAGGGAGUUCUUGGAGCCUUUUCUCUUCGGCACUGAUUGCCUUGGUCACUUGCUCCAUCUCCUUAGCAAGUUCUUUGAGGCGGUCUAUCUCACCGAUGAUCCCCGGGCGGGAGUCCUCCAGAAAAUGGAUACGCGGAUGUGCCUCUUGAGCUUGACGCUUGAACGCGUCCUCCUCUUCACGAGUCUUGGCCAGCUUGGCGCGAUCGGCCAUGUGGCGAAGGGCUCUGAAGACCGGGAUCCUCAUAGACUCGAUGAAUGCCACCGACGCCAAGGCUUCCUCCGCCUCUUCUGGUACUCGUCCGCUGACGUCACCGAAGAGCUGCCGAAUCGGUGAAGCAUCUUCUACUAGUCGGCCGAUGUCCCCUUGAAGGAGGGAUCGGAUACUAGCCAGUUUGGCUCAGACGUCAUCAGGAAUGGAACUUAAGGCGACUUGGCGGGAAGCGACUUCUUCAUCGUCGGAGAGGGCAACCGCAAAAGAGAAGAGGCUGUUGUCGGGGGUGUCUUGUUCCUGGAGACAAUAAAAAGGAAAAAAAAUGAAUCGGCUGGGAGUAAAAGCAAAUCGGCUGAGUAAAGCCGGAAUAUAACUUACCACUUUGAAGCGAAUUUCUUCAUGUUGCAUUUGGGAAGCCGUCACGCCUUGCUCAGGGGCUUGCACCAUGGGUUCAUCAGAAGAGGAAGACUCCACAACGAUCGGCGCGGUGCUUGGACCAGCUCCCUGAGAAAAGACCGGUGGUUGAGGAGCGCUUGGUGUGCCGAUGACCUGUAUUAAUGAAUUGAAUAAGUAUAUUAUACAAAUAUCAGGAGAAAUUGGCGGAAUAGUGCUAUACCUCAACGGACGGGAGCGGGGGCGUGUCGAUGGCUGAUUGGGCUGCUGCCGAUUGUUGUGUAUCCAUGGGAAUGUUCUGUGCAGUCUAAGAUAAGAAGGGUUAAUAUCGGAACAACAAUCGGGAGGAAUAAAACUUAGGUCUACCUGAACGGCCUCCAAUAACAAUGACGCGGCGGCUGCCCCAGCUUGUGCGAUGACUUGGGUAUCGUCAUCUCUGGUGGCCUGAGAGGGUGGCGCGGCCGGAGUCUCUGCCGAUACAAGCAUAGGAGGAUCCGCCGAUUCUAUACAGGCUCGGACUCGGCGACUGGUCUUCUUGGUGAUCCUCUUCUGAACUUGUUUCGAUCGGCCAAUGAUCACGUCCACGGAUGGAGCAUCAUAGCCGAUGAGAGGAUAAGUGGUGUAUGGAUGAUGACUCUCUAUUAGCUGACCACUUCGGCUAUGUGUUGGAGGUGUACGGUUCUCGGCCUGAAGAAAUAACAAAACCAUUAGUAUUCAAUCACGUUAAGAGGAAUAAAAAUCGGCUAAGGAAAAUACCUCGGCGUUCGGGUCAAUGUUGGCUGGAUCCAGGAGGUUGCAGUAUGCCGAUGCCGAAUUGCAGAAGAGAAAUUGCUUCCAAUCGGCCCACCAGAGUUUGAACGGCUGGACAGCAAAGGGAGCUACUAACCAGUUGUUCAGGUCAAUGGUACUGGAGUCCGGAAUCCGGUCUCGUAACCGACUGUAAUCCAGACCGGAUGUGAGCUCAUCUCUAAACUUGAUUCGGCCAGCAAAAUACACUUGAAUCGGCAGCUGACCCAUGCCGAAUUGACGUGCUGCAACAGAAGGGUUGUAGAACUCAUACGUGGGGGCAUCUUUCCCCGAAAAGAAGUUGGCUGGCAAGAUUCCUGGCUUGAUUAACUCUUCGUUAAGCUCUUCGUCAAAAUGGCCAGUGGUCGAAUCGAAGCAGGUUGGGAGUUCAAAGACCGGGUCAUCCCGCUGAUAAGGAAACCAAAUGGUUGCAUCUUCAUUAAAGCCGUUAUAGAAGCAUCGGAAUACUCGGCUACCUUCAUGGCGGAAUAUGUGCAACCUGGAAAGGCUGAUGCCACUUCACCAAAGGACAUGCAUCGGCGACGUUUGGUAGGGUCUUCUGCCGAUUCGAUGUUGGGGAACAUCAUACGGUCCACCCUCUGCUGAGUGAUCUCGCUCAUGUAAAGGUUCAGCCACAAGUUGAUGAACCACCAGGGUCCGCCUGGAUUUCCGAUCAGCUCUCCCUUGGAUAGUCUGAUGCCGAUUUGGUGGAGCAUGUGGUACGCCGCCCCUAGUAAAUGUUUCCCAAGGGGAACAUGGUUUCCUCUGGACAGCGCUUCGGCUAAAGCCUGGGUGUUGGUUGAUGGGCCGGCGGCUCUUCCACAAAAGAAGUGUUUUUCUAGCCACAUCAUUAAGAAGGCUGUAUGCUCCCUAUUUUCAACAGACCCGGUUCUUUUAUUGCUUCUGAUGAAUCCCUUCCACCCGCCGAUUCCCCUUGUGUCCAGCCGAUGUGAUGUUGCGGCUAAAAGGUGGAAAGGUGUGUCCGGGGAAGAAAUGUCAAGGCCGGUCAACAAGACCACAUCGGCCAGUGUUGGGGUCAUAGGUCCGUGCCCAAAUAAGAAGGCAUUAAGUGCAUCAGACCAAAAAUAAGAAGCCGCUAUUACCAACGGCUCAUUUUUCUCCAUCUGAGACAAGGACAGGUUGAUGCACUGGCCGAUUUUGAGCUCCUCCCAUGAGACACUCUUCGACGCGGCUACCCGUUGGUACCAUUCCCUCCAACCUGGGGUUUCAUUCGGCCAGGACCUAAAAGUACCCAACCAUUGAUCUAAGUCCAUGUCGGACAGUUUGAAGGGUAUCCUGUGGGUUUCCAAAUUGAUAAGCUCUAUUGGAUCUGGGUUCCCCAUAGGUCCGAGACAAACAAGGCCGGGAUUUCCCGUAAGAUGGAUGGUAAUGCGAUGCCUAACUGCUUAAAAAAGGAAAGGGGGGUGUAAAAAAGUAAGAAACAGAUCUAAAGUAAAUGCAUUGCCGAUAGAAGAAGGAUUCGGUAUUAACCUCUGGGAUGAAGUUCUGAGUGGUCGGCGUGGUCGCCGGUGCAGAUGCGGACGAUGAGGCCGUGAUGGGGAUCGCCAUUGGGAUCUCCGAUGAAGCUCCUUCUUCUAUGGAUGGAGCAACGGCCGUCGCCACUACCGCCGGAGGUGCUACCUCUGGAACAUCGCACGUUGGAGAGCUGCCGGAGGGAGCCGCCAUUGGAGGAGAAGGGGAAAAGUAACAGGAGGAUGGCGCUAGAAAGCUUCGGCAGCAAGGGAAAGGUGCUCAAGAAAGAAGACGGCGCGCGCGCUGAGAAAGAGAGACGUGAGCUUGAAGAUGAAGUGCGGGGUGAGCCGCUAUUUAAAGGGUGCCUGAAGGAGGGUAAAAAUGGAAUUUUCACCGCGCCGGCGUUUCGAGUUUUUCGGGAGUAGUGGCUGUCGUGGGCGCCCGUUUCGAAAAGAUUGCAAUCAUCAGCUGGAAGACCGCGAAAUGGAAGGAUAUUUUCAUUGCGGCCGUUUCGGAGGGGAGGUUAUAAAGAAUUUCGAAGUAAAAGACUAUGUUUUACUCCGAAACUGGGGGGCAUGUGUUAACGCCAGAUUUCGUCACUAGUAAAAUCGGCGCCAAGAAGAGAGGGAAUCGGAGAAGCACAGUUGGGAAUCGGUCGAGUGGUGCUACAGUGCGAGAUUGGCCGGUGACUUCUGUCUCGCUUCGGAUCGGACGUGCCGGGGUCCCAAUCGGUUGCCUUUUGCCGAUAAGGAUUCGGCCGAUUAGGAGGUUGGUUUAAUUGGGCCUGUAUGGGCUUGGAAAGGAAUAAAAGGAUAAGGGGGAGAUCAGCCCAUGAAGCAUAGAGUAACCAACCUAGCACGAAUCGUGCUUCUAAAUAUUCGUUUUCUGUUUGAAUUAGGGAUAGAAUUCUAGUCGGUUAAGAAGUCAUCUGUACGGGGCUAUAAAUAGCUACCUUUGUAAAUCUGUAAUCAUCAACAAAUCAAUACAACAAGCUACUUUUUCCUCGUACUUACUUUCAAGCAGGCGACUUCGCCAAUACUUUUCUCUCUUUCACGAGUUCGUGCGGGUUGGCAGGGCUGCAUCAGCUUGAUCUCCGGCCGAUUCUGUAAGUUCCGCUUAUCGAGUAAUAUCUAAGCUUUAACUUCGGGCGUAUCGCUGUUGUUUCGUUUAGAUUUAUUCACUAGUUAUCGAUAUUUGCUAGAAUCAUAGGUUUUACCUGUCUUUCUAGUUUUACCACCAGUUACCCAGCUAGGAAUCGGUAGUUUCGGCUCUCUUCACAUUCUGCUAUUAGAUUCAUCUAUUGCCGAUUAGACCUAUUCCUGGUGUUGUUAUCAUAGCUUUGUAUCGAUUACUCUAGUGGUUUUCUGUCUACAAGGCUACAGUGAUCGGCUGUUUUAUAGCCGAUUCCUUUAUUACGGCAAAUCGGCCGAUUCGCUGAUAAGCUCCCUCGAGAUCGGAAACUUAGCCGAUCGUGAUUUCCGGACCUGACACGCAUUCUUCCUUGCCAAUCAAUAGGUCAGAUUGGCUGGCACGCCAUGCGAACCGCACCAGGGCAAUCACCCGAACAGGAGUUAAGCAGAUUCUCUCGGGUCGUGUGUCGGACGCUGGGAUUCGGUUGACCGAUUUCUAGCGCCAACAAGAAGAUAAGGUGCUGUUUUGUAGUGAAGUCACUGAAAAACUUGUAAAUUGUUAUCUCUUUUCUUAUGUCUUGUACCUUUCACAUAAAACCCCCUAGAUCUUUUAGUAUCUCUCAAUCUUAUCCUUGUCAUGUUUUUUUGCAGAUCUAACCUCGAUCUUUCAGCUUUUCAAGUGUCCUGUUCUAUGAGUCUAGGUAAACUUCUCUACUAACCAUUGUAGUUUACGGUUAAUCGUGUUUAGGUCCCUAGAUCUUGUUUAGCUCGUAGAUUUCACGUUUUAGCUCUGUUUUAAUGCGUUCAAGUUGCAUUCGGUUCAUCACAGCAUAAAGUACACGUUAGUGUUGUUGGCAUCCUAUAUUUCGUGUAUUUAAAAAAUAAAUUUAAUAUCAAUUUGAAUAAUGCCUAAUGAACAUGUGUUUCUCUAGAUAAAAGUUACCAAGAGUUAUCCAUCACUUUUCAUAAUAAAUAUCAAUAUGAUUAAUGACUACUUCAUAAUCUUUCUAAAUAAAAGCCAAUUAGGAUAUACACCGAUUUUUCAUAAACCAAAGAUAAUUUGAUUAACACUUAUUUGAGUAGGUUUCUACCUCGGUCUUUGCAAAUAAAGUAUAAUCUGUCUUAAUUCUAACUUAGGGUAUUUUCUUUCUGAAAUAUCCUUUACAUAUGUUUUGCUAAAUAAAAUAAACCUAGCUUAUAGUUUUUUUAUUUCUUUCAUGAAUCAAAUCUCUCGAUAGUUCCAUUCUCAACGUUUCCCUAAAUCGAACCCUCAUCCUUUAGUACACUCUUUUAAGCCUUUCUUUUGUUUUGGUGUUUUGUUCUUAGUUGCUGUUGUUGUUUGUUUGUUGCUGAUGUUUGUUUCAAUUAGAAGGAUCGCCAUCCGAAGCUUUGAAGGUUAAGAGUUUCAAGAAAGCAAGGACUGAUGAGCAAUAAGAGUAACUUGUCGUUGGAGAAAGGCAAGUGUCCCUAACCAUCCUUCUACCUAUGCUUUAUUCACAAUACCAUGAGAAUGUUAAUUAGAACAUGGAGAACCACCCAAGAAAACAGUACAACCACAACAUCACAUGGCUCUAAUCUUAGCUGACUAAUUAGGCAUGUGGUUGACUAGUGGCCUUACCGAAAGGGCAAAGAGGGGGAAGGUGUCAGGGGUAUGACCCGGAGCGGUAGCCUUCUAAGGUGUUGAAUCAUUACAACAGGUUGUGACCUACACCGCUACUAAAACUCUAGCGGGCUACUAGUUGUCUAUAUGUCUUUGUAAAGGCUUUGUAGUGGACCCCCUAGCCACUCACUGAAGGAAGUGUUGAAGGGCUUUGCAAACCCGGGUGACACGGGAAACCACGAGUUGUGGGUAAAGUGUACAACCUCUGUAGAGUGUAAACUGAUAUAUCAGCCGUGCUCACGGUUAUGAGCGGCUUGGACCCUCACAUGAUUAAUUAAACUUGAAGUUGGACUUAAAUCGUUAAUUAUGGUUAGCUCCUGUGGUCUUGCUAAGUACCAACCAUAAGUGUACUCACCCUUGCUUACCGCUUUUCAGAAGAAGAAGCUGCUAUGAAGAUGAUGCUGAGUUCUAGGCAUACGCAACCCCCAGUCGAGUGCCUGUGAUGUUUCAAGCCUUCGUUUCCGGAGUUUAAGUUGUGUUUCUCUGAUAGUCUUGUAAGUCUUUUUUGUAUCUUGUCGCGUGAUACUGUUGCUAUUAUUCACUAAUGAUGUCACUAUAUGUAUGUAAUUAGAUCCUGGCAUACAUAUAGAUAGUACUUGGUUUUGUUUUAAAAACUGGGUGUGACAGAUUUAAACCAUCAGGCAAAUUCUUUCUGAAUUCUACGAUUAAUAACCUGGUCUGACACACCUUCCAGUUUUAACUGAUCCUUGUAUAUCCUGCAAAAACACAUCCAUCUGAAAAUUAGACCGAAAUAAUUACAGUAGAAUCAACUCAUGAAGGAUCACGUACCUAAUAUAUGGCUCAACAUCUUUGCAAUCAUUUAGCACAUACCAAACCAACUUGUCGUAAUCCAAAUCAAGGAAUGAAGUCUUCACUGCUCCAAGUACAUCAACAUUGUGCUGGAAAUAAGAUAAAUCAGCAUUCUCUCUGUUCCUGCCCUCCUAAUUGAAUCAUGUGCCAAUAUCAUCAUCCGCAAAGUACCUUGAGCAAAAUGUCAAGGCCUCAUUAGCAAUAUAUGCUUCUACAAUGGAUCCUUCAAGCCUAGCCAUGUUUCUCACCGAACGCUUCAAUAUGCAUAGCCUUCUUUCGACGGGAUACAUCCAUCCAUAUUGUAUUAGGCCUCUUCGGAUUGCUUCCUCAAGCAAAUGGAUAGCCAGCACCAUAACAUAAAAAAAAGCAGGUGGGAAAAUUUUCUCAAGCUUGCACAAAACUAUUGGGAUAUUUGUUUUCAGUUUCUUCAAAACAUCCAACUUCAAAGUUUUGCAACAUAGUUGCUGAAAGAAGUUUCCUAAUUUUGAAAUAGUUGAUAAUGUCUGUUUAUCCAUUGAACCUCGAAGGGAAGCAGGCAAUAUCCUUUGAAGUAGGAUAUGACAAUCAUGAGUUUUCAGUCUUUGGAGUUUGCAUCCAUCAGCGGCAAUACAUCUUGAUAAGUUAGAAGCACUAGUCGAGAUUCCAUGCAUUUGCACGGUCUAGUUUAUAGAAUUUUAAUUUAGCUGCUAUAUUAACUCAAAUAACAUUUCCGGUAAACUCGCUAAACAAAUGAGGAUGUUCCAAAUUUAAAUUUAUUUUACAGGAAUUUUGUACAAUAUAUGUAUGUUCUCUACAUUGUCCGUGACCUAUUUUAUGCUAGAACUUUUGCCAUGAGUGUGGUAUAUGUCCAAAUAUAGCCUCUUUGGUAUCAGCUGUAUAUUUUUUAUGAAACAUAAACAUGUGCAUAUUCUCACUCAUGCACACACGUGUGCUAUCCCUAUGAUCAGCCUGGAGAGAUUGAGCCGGCAGUUGUUGAGAUUGAUAUAGCCGUCUUCGUUAUCUAUGGAUCCAUCACGUACCAUUGAAUGGAUAGUUAGCUGCAAAUGUGAGCAACUGUAUUGCAUCAGAGGCUCAAAUAACACUAUAAGAAAUAUGACCUCUCAUCCCGAGGCUUUGUGCCGGUUAGGUUUGGACCCGGUACUAAUGUUAGCAUUAGCGGCUUUGUACAACGUGUUUCGAUAAUGUUAUCGCAUUAAUAACUCUGAUUUUCCUGUGCAGCUAGUAUUUUCUAGCUAGAUAUGAUUGCCCUUUUGCAUAGAAAUAAGUUGUAUCCAUCUGAGUUCAUAUAAAAAACUAUAAAUCUCCAAACACUUAGAUUUUAUUCCUAGUACUCCUAAAUCUCGUCUAGCAAAUAAAUUAGAAUUGAUUUCUCCCAUGAAUUGAAAUACUUAGAAAUUACCGAGAACUUUUAUGAUGUUGUCAUUUAUUGUAACAAAAUUCAUCAAAUAGUUCAAUCAAUUAUAGAAAUGUGCAAAUCACUAUAAAUAUUUUUGUUCUCAAUUAUUGUGUAAGUGUUUCAUUCUAUUUUUGUUGUCAUUUUCUAUUUUUUAUUUCUGCAGUAUAUGAAUUACCUAGAAAUAUUUGGAAAAGCUUAUUAAUUGUAAAUUGUAUGCCAUACCAUGUUACAUAUAUGUCAUUCUUAUCAUAAGUUUAAUUCCUUUAAUUUAUUGUUACAAAUUGUUAUUUAUUUAGUCAUUUAUUUAUUGUUAGAAAUUGUCAUUUAUUUAGCCAUGUUACAUACUAGAAAAGCAUUUUUAGUCAAUUAUUUAUUGUUACAAAUUGUAUAAGUGUUAUAUUCUUUUUGUAGUCACCCUUUUAUUUUAUACUAGUUACAAUGGCACAAUCGGAGGACGAGCAUGACGUACAAAUGGCAGAGGAGCUCAUCUUUCUGAUGAUUGCUGAAGGCGGCAAUCAACCAAAUGAAGAGAUCGAUCACAGCCAGGCUGACAUCUACCUCAACAUGGCUGGUGAUAGCAACGAGGAGCGACCAAUUGUCGAGGGAGGCAAUGAGGAGCAACCAGUUGUCGAGGGAGGCAAUGAUGGGCAACAAGGCAAGGUAUAGCAAGUAUUAUACAUAUACAUUAUUUGAAUUCUCUUCUUAUCAAAAGAAACAUCAUCACGCAACAUUCCAAUCACGCAACAUUUCAAUUGUCAUUUUUCAGCCAUCUGGAUCGAGCAGGAGGCAUCAAAAGAAAUGAGACAAGAACAAGAACUUAGAUGGUUGUAUCAUCGUCACAGAAAUUGCUGAAGAUGGUGAACUGAUUGCUCCUGCCAAUGCUAAGACAAUGUUGGUGAAUUAGAUUGGAUUUCUUGUCAAAGAUAACAUCACAAUCAGCUUUCAGAAUUGGAAAAAACCUAACAAUUGUUGGAGGUAUGCCCUAGAGGUAAUCAUAGAGAUGAUGAUAUUAUAUUUGUAUCCAUGAUUUAUAUAUUGUGUUCAUUGAAUAUCCAUUAAAGGCUACUUGAAUUGAUUUGCAAUUAUGUGAAUUGUAUGUGAAAAUCUUUACUUGUAUGGUUAUUCUAAAGUUGUCCCUAGUCGGAGUUCAUGUGAGGACACACAUGAAUAUUAGACUAGCACAUGUAUUAGUUGAUGACUAUGUUUC